Molecule: long non-coding RNA, 71776 nt
Filed under: Zea mays
Lineage: Eukaryota; Viridiplantae; Streptophyta; Magnoliopsida; Poales; Poaceae
Description: long non-coding RNA (ZMAY_LNC000694)
Rfam family: Plant small nucleolar RNA U3 (bases 46475-46707)
Source: RNAcentral
UGUGCUUACUUUUUUUCUCCGUGCAUGAGAUCAAUAUUAUUGUUUGUUAUGGUUUGUUUGGUUCAACUGUAGAUUCUUGAAAAUAUGAUUUGAACAGUGAGCUGUGUUGUAAACUAACAAUUAUAGAAAAUCUAAAAUUUGUUUGCUGAAACAACUGUUGAUUAUAAAUUUCAUAAGUGAAUAGCACCUUAUAACAUAUAUGACAUGAAUCAAACUGAGGUAAAAGAUAUGUAGAUUUUUAGUAAUUUAUUCAGUUGUUGUAUCCGUUUAGUUAAAAUUCUAAAAGAUGAACCAACCACAACAUAAGAGUGCGUAGUGCUCUUCGGGGUCAAACAUGCAUAUUUUUCGAAACGGGGAAGUAUUUCUGUAAACUUUAUUCACUUUUGGAGUCUUGUAGAUGCUUGUAGAGGGAAAAAAAUAUUUUUCCCCCAAUGGAUUUCCCACUCGAUCCAACUACCUCCCCCUUCCAUCUCGGCCCGGGCCCAACUAUCUAACACUCUCUUGAGCCCAGCAAACGUCUCGGUAGUCUGCAUGGCCCAACACCAUCGCUCCCUCACUCCCCAGUUCUCUCCCGGUCUCCCCACUUCGGCCUCUCCGCGGGCCGAACCCGCUCACCCCCGCCCUCCCCUAGCCACCGGUCAUCGCCGCCACGUCCACCGACGGGCCCACCCAACGACCUCGCUGCGCCCACCCGUACGCCUCCAUCCAGCUUAGCGGCGCCCGAGUCACAGACCAGUCACAUGCCGCCGCGGCUCCUGCUCAACAAUGUCUCCUGCAUGCGGAACGCACAGACGGUGCUCCGUGACAUCAACCUCAGCGUCCACGACGGCACAGCCCUCGUCCUUACCGGCGCCAACGGCUCCGGAAAGACCACCCUCCUCCGCAUGCUGGCGGGCUUCUCGCGCCCCUUGGCGGGGGAGAUCCUCUGGAACGGACACGACAUCACCUCCCCCGGCGUCUUCCAGCAGUACAAGCUGCAGCUCAACUGGAUGUCGCUCAAGGACGCCGUGAAAGAGAAGCUCACAGUGCUCGAGAACGUCCAGUGGUUCGAGCUCCUCGAGGGGAAGGACGGCAGCAGGUCGGGCCCGGCCAUCCAGCUCAUGGAGCUCGGCAGGCUCAUCAACGAGAAGGCCAGGAGGAUGUUGUCCAUGGGGCAGAGGAAGCGGCUGCAGCUCGCCAGGCUGCUCGCCAUCGAUCGACCCAUCUGGCUGCUGGACGAGCCCUCCGUCGCGCUGGACGCAGAGGGUACCAGGCUGCUUGAACACAUCAUCGCGGAGCACCGGGAGAAGGGUGGCAUCGUGUUCGUGGCCACGCAUCUGCCGAUUCAGGUUGAGGAUUCUAUGUCGCUUCGGCUUCCCCAGAGGUUUCCUCGGAGGAAGACGCUGGUUGAUCUUAUCCAUUGAUGGCUUGACGCCAAUGUGACCAGGAAUUUAGUUGUAUCUCUCUAAUUCAUCUCCAGCUAUCUGUCUGAAUGUUGUCAGAGUAAUUUUUUUUUUGCUGGUGCUGCAUUUGUCAUCCUUUUUUGACAGCAUGACAAUACAUUAUCUAUGUUGAUAAUAUGUGCAGUUGUUCUUUGUGAUCACUGUUUUGAUGCAUUUGCCCAUGUAUUUGGGAACAAUAGAAGGCAUUUGCCAUGUCUGAUAUAUGUACAGCUGUUCUUUGCGAUCAUGGUGUUGAUGCAUUGACCCCCUUAUAUAUAUGGUACUUGCUGGUGGAAACUUUGUUGGCUGUUCAAUGUUUAGCAGGUUUAUUCACGCCUUGCAUGUCUGCGUGAAGCUUCAAGUGUUGGAUACUCGGCAAACUUGACCAAAUAUGGGGAGACCUUUGGACAGGAUCAGGUAUAGAUGUCUGAUUUGAGUGUCUCUUUUCUCAUAUUCUUGUGAAUUGACUAAGGUUGAUUUCUUCCAUAACAAAUUUUGUUUUAGUCUGAAUAUGUUAUUGUUGUCAUCUGAAUAUAUUCAGAAGUGGCUGAUUUUGCAUUUGUAGCAUGUGCAGUGUUUAAUUCACAAACAAUGUUUUUUACUACAUACAAUAACUACUAAUAAAUUAGUUUAGGCCAUGUCGACAAAAAUUGGUGCCCAGUUGCUGUAAAGCCCAAAAUUGGUAGAAGGAUAAUAAUAAAAAAAAUAAACAAAUAUAUUUAUUAUAGUGGUUUGGAAAUUCUUGAAACCUUGGAUUAAAUAAUAAUAAUAAUAGAAUUUUAAAUGGAAAGAAAAAUAAAAAGAAAAAGAAUGUGCGACAAAAAUAAUAAUAAUUAUUAUUAUAUAUACCUUCUUAUACUGGUAUUUUAAUUGUGCACUUGACCUAUGUGUCAAACUCACUAACAACUUCAAGAUUUAAAUGGUAAAUUUUGAAAUGAAGAAAGAAAUGCAAACCUAAAAGAAAAAGGAUAAAAAAAAGAGAAAUCCUCAAUGGGCCGAAUCCCUAGCCAGCCCAUUCCCCCUGCAUCGCCUGGGCGCGGCCCGCGCGCUCGCCCUCGCUGUCCCUGUCAAGCCAGGCCCGUUGGCCAGCCGCUCUGCGCCCACACUCCCUUCAUCCUGCCAUUACGCCUUACCUCGCUGACAACGUCAGCUUCUUCAACGGACUCCGCAGCUCGCAGAUCACGCAAUCCCCGGUAACAAACUCCGGCCACGCGCGCCCGUGCCGGGUCUUUCGCUGACCAGCGGGGCCCAGUCGUCAUCCUUCUUCCCCCACUCGCUCGACGCAGACCCAAUCCCAACAGAAAUCGCCGCAUGGCUCGCCGCUCACUUCGGAUCGGCCGAACGACCUCCUGGAUAUCGGGCUGCCCCACCCGAUGGUGUAUAAGGGACCCCGGCACUCGAUUCAUAUCUCUCGCCUCGCUGUUACUCGCCCUCCUCGCCACAAUAUCGAUAAUUUUGCGCCGUCGCGGGGAAAACAGGGGCUGCCGCGGGGGAACUUCGGCUAGCCGUCAUCCGCGCCUCCAGUGUGGGCCUCAGAGCCUUCCCUCGGUUGCGGGGCGGGCGCUGGUGGCCUCGCCACCUGGAAUUGUCGCCGGGGACUUCACCAAUUGGUCGCCGGACCUCUCCUAUCACGAUCGAGCCGCCGCGCAGCGAGGGCGGACUUCCUCGGAGCUUAAUCUGCGGUAUGGCUACCAUUUUCCUACUCGCCGUCUCUCCCUCUCCGUUUCGCACAAGGUUGCGCUAGGAUUAGGACUCCUCGGUACGCUCCCGGUUUGGGGUAGGAUGGAGGCGGGAUAAAGGGAAGGAAGAUGAGGCACGCAGUGGCCACGGCGGCGGCAUGACUGAUGUCCAGAGGCAACUUCGGCGGUUCGGUUCCCGCAACAGGGUUUCAGUGAUUUUUUUUUUUGGUUACGGAUGUUUACCUCGGCUGCGACGGCGAGCAGCAGCUUCUCCGCGGCGACGCCGGCGCAGGAUUUCAGUUGCAGGGGCCUAGGAGUAGGCGUUCACAGAGGAGGCACCGGAUACGAUCAUCCUCACCACCAGCAGUCAGGAAAGGGAGCAGGGGCACGGAGGUUACCUUGUUGCCGAGGAACUGGGGCCUAUGAGGCACAAAUCUGGUGGUUUCAACAAGGCCAACCCCAUGCCUGGCAAGGCCUAUGGAGCUCGGAGGAGGGCAGAGGCGCCGGGCAGCUCAGGCAGGACGAAGGGGAGGGGAGGGGAGGGGCAGGGCAGGUGGUACUGGUGGGCGCAGGAUAGCCCAUGGCUACUAAUGGCUGGGGGGCAUAUGCGGACUCCGCUUCGAGGAUUACGGAAACCGUUGCACUUCGAGGAUUACGGAAACCGUUGCUGAUCGCCUGAUUCACACGAACUCUGCCCUCCAUGGCCUAUAUAAGCUAGCCGCUAGUCCUUGUGUUGCCAAGGACCGAGUGGAUCGCAGCGGAGAAUUCGCCAUCGUAGGCCGGUGCGCGACGAAUUGCAGGCCGGAGUUGGAGACCGCCGCCCAAUCAGCUAAUUGACGUGGUAAGGUCGUGGCGCCACAAGAUUCGCGGUGAGCACAGAUUCGUCUUUGUUCCUACAUGGUGUAUCACCGCGUAGAGUGCGGGUCGCAAAUCACCGGUGGGCGCCGCUGUGGGCUAAGGGUGGCCUCGUGGAGGUGGAAAAGGGUCGCUGGACCGUCAAUCGAGAAUCAGUGGCUAGGAUUAAAAUCUAUUAUACCGUUUUGACUUGGGAUAGGGCUGAACCGCUGAAGGUUAGUCUGUUUUGCAGAAUUGAUUAAGUUAGUUGCUUGGUUUAUUAGAUUGAUUGAGUUAGUUGCUUGGUUGUUGAGAAAAUCAGGAAGGCUUUAACCCUUGUUAGUUCGUUGAGAAAAUAAAGGAGCCUCUAACUUUAAAGAGGAACGGACGACCGAAACUCAUCGUCCCAAACUCCCCGAUAUAUCCCUUUGCUAUACUCUCCUCUGCGAUCAGCCAGGAACCCUCAUCAGUGAAUGCUAAUUUUCUGUUUGGUGUUUGUAGAACCUUUUUGAACGAUCUAGGCUUCCUGGAAUUUGGAACGUGGAUUUGGUAAGUAUUAUCCUCCAUCCAGAUUUUCGUUUUUGCGUCAAUACUAUUCCUGUUCACGUUCCAAGAGUGAAUUUUGUAGAUCUGCUCCUCCAAUGGCAACCUUUAGCAAGGCUAGCAGGCUGUGUGGUGCAGUGACUAUGCAACCAAAACAGGUGUGGAGUCUACUCUCGAGAAUCCUGUCUAAGCUGCUCGGUCUUCCUGGUAUUUUGUUGAAGAAAUUCCGAAAGGAAGGUGUGUCGGAAUUGGAUGCUGUUGCAUUGCCAGAGCUAUCACAGGAUGUGUUGAUGGACAUCUUUAGUACACUUGAGGUCCCUGACCUCAUCCGAGCAGGCUCGGUUUGCUCGUCAUGGCAUGCUACUUACAAAUGCCUGCUCGACCUGAGGCAAUACAAGCAACCCCAGACACCAUGCCUGUUCUACACUUGUGAAUCUGCCGGUAGCAACAUAGGGUUUCUAUACAACCUCAAGGAAAAUAGGUCCUACAAGUUAACUCUACCGGAGCCACCCAUCCGCAGUAGGUUACUGAUCGGGUCCUCGAACGGUUGGUUGAUUACUGCAGAUGAGAGGUCUGAACUGCACCUUGUGAAUCCCAUAACUGGAGAACAGGUUGCACUUCCCUCUGUGAUUACCAUAGAGCAUGUGAAGCCCAUCUUUGAUGCAUCAGGUACUAUCCAUAUGUACGAGUUGUCAUAUGAAACACCACCCGACCUGUUUGAUCUUGGCGAUCUGCGCGAUGAACUCUACUUCAAGGCAUUUGUGUUUCCUGAUCCAUCCACCACUGGAAGCUACAUCGUGGUUCUUAUUCAUGAGCCACGUUCACGGCUUUCGUUUGCACGACCGGGAGAUGACAAGUGGACCUCGGUUGGACAAGGUAUCGGAUAUAAAGACUGCACAUAUGUGGAUGGUCUUUUGUAUACAGUGGAUUGGACUGGAGAAAUUGAUGCUUUUGAUUUUACCGCAUCCCCUGUUAAAAUGACAGUAAUUAUGGACAGUCUGAAGUAUCCUCCAUGUGAAAACCUGUACAUUAUUCAGGCUCCAUGGGGUGAUCUGCUGCAUGUUUGGAGGACUAUUGACGUUCCACCCAAUGCUCCAUCGUGGGACCCUGAAAAGUGCCUGGCAGAAACCGUAAAAAUACAAGUGCAUAAAGUGGACUUGGAAGCAAAGAAAUGGGUGAAAAUAAACAGGUUGCAGUGUGAUGGUGUUUUAUUUCUUGGCCACAACGAUUCACUUUACCGUAGUGCUCAAGUACAUCCAGGACUCAAGUCAAAUCAUGCAUACUUCACUGACGAUUGUAAAGAAUUGACUGUUGCAUUCAAAAAUUCCACACGUGAUAUGGGAGUUAUGGACUUGGAAAAUAAUGCCAAGAAGGAAAUUGUCUCUCAAAUUUGGUCCAACUGGCCCUGUCCCACUUGGAUAACACCUAAUCUUAUGAAGCUGAAUCAGGCAUUCAACAAAUAGCUUUUUAGGUAUUAUUAUUUAGUACAUUUGCUUUGUUAUUUUUUUUUAUCAAAAAUGGUGUAAUCGAUGUUAUGAUAAAAGAAUUGUAUGCCAUACAAUGGUCAUUUCUUCCUAAUAAGAUGUGUAGCGGUAAAAACGAUAAUGGUUGCUUGCAGAUUCAGAGAGAACGAAUAAAUUUUCACCACCUUUACUUGUGAUAGGAGCCAUCAAUUUAGGGUUCCACACUUAGGCUAGUUUGCCCCUUCGGGAUUGAAGGGAAUCGAGGGAGAAAUUAGUUUAUUUCUACCUAAAUCUCCUCCAAUCCAGGAGGACAUUUGAGUUUCAAAACUAGCUCUCAUUGAUUGCAGAUAAUUAAAUCCAAGAAGUAGAUAGUCGUUCUAUUUGACAUGUGGAAACAGGUAAAAACUAGUGAACUUUACAGUCUCGAGAAUAUAUUAAUACAAUCCACCGAUGGUGUACAACAUAUUCAAUGAAACAUUUUAUAUGUACAAACCUAAACGGCUAGCGUAAUUGUACAACGACACACAUUAAAGAAGUUUGCCAAAAUAACGAACAAUGAAACUAAACAUUUAACGGCCCUGUAGAAUUGUGAUGCUCAUGUUAUUCAGCGAUCUUCGCGCGUGUACUGACUUGACUGAUCAGUUUCAUAAUUCCUAGUAGUAAAAUAUACGGGUUCUUUGGGGUAGGAAGUGGGGUUGUUUCAAUUGCUAGCAUGAACACAACAGAUGGCAUGAGUGGCCUUGCAUAUGGACCGUCUUGCAUGCUGGCAGGCUUCUCGCGCCCCUCGGCGGGGGAGAUCCUCUGGAACGGACACGACAUCACCUCCCCCGGCGUCUUCCAGCAGUACAAGCUGCAGCUCAACUGGAUGUCGCUCAAGGACGCCAUGAAAGAGAAGCUCACAGUGCUCGAGAACGUCCAGUGGUUCGAGCUCCUCGAGGGGAAGGACAGCAGCAGGUCGGGCCCGGCCAUCCAGCUCAUGGGGCUCGGCAGGCUCAUGAACGAGAAGGCCAGGAGGAUGUUGUCCAUGGGGCAGAGGAAGCGGCUGCAGCUCGCCAGGCUGCUCGCCAUCGACCGACCCAUCUGGCUGCUGGACGAGCCCUCCGUCGCGCUGGACGCAGCGGGUACCAGGCUGCUUGAACACAUCAUCGCGGAGCACCGGGAGAAGGGUGGCAUCGUGUUCGUGGCCAUGCAUCUACCGAUUCAGGUUGAGGAUUCUAUGUCGCUUCGGCUUCCCCAGAGGUUUCCCCGGAGGAAGACGCUGGUUGAUCUUGUCCAUUGAUGGCUUGAUGCCAAUGUGACCAGGAAUUUAGCUGUAUCUCUCUAAUUCCUCUCCAGCUAUCUGUCUGAAUGCUGACAGAGCAAUAUUUUUUUUGCUGGUGCUGCAUUUGUCAUCCUUUUUUGACAACAUGACAAUACAUUAUCUAUGUUGAUAAUAUGUGCAGUUGUUCUUUCUGAUCACUGUUUUGAUGCAUUGGCCCAUGUAUUUGGGAACAAUAGAAGGCAUUUGCCAUGUCUGAUAUAUGUACAACUGUUCUUUGCGAUCAUGGUGUUGAUGCAUUGACCCCCUUAUAUAUAUGGUACUUGCUGGUGGAAACUCUGUUGGUUGUUCAAUGUUUAGCAGGUUUAUUCACGCCUUGCAUGUCUGCGUGAAGCUUUAAGUGUUGGAUACUCGGUAAACUUGACCAAAUAUGGGGAGACCUUUGGACAGGAUCAGGUAUAGAUGUCUGAUUUGAGUGUCUCUUUUCUCAUAUUCUUGUGAAUUGACUAAGGUUGAUUUCUUCCCUAACAAAUUUUGUUUUAGUCUGAAUAUGUUAUUGUUGUCAUCUAAAUAUAUUCAGAAAUGGCUGACUUUGCAUUUCUAGCAUGUGCAGUGUUUAAUUCACAAACAAUGUUUUUUACUACAUACAAUAACUACUAACAAAUUAGUUUAGGCCAUGUCGACAAAAUUUGGUGCCCAGUUGGUGUAAAGCCCAAAAUUGGUAGAAGGAUAAUAAUAAUAACAAAAUAAAUAAACAAAUAUAUUUAUUAUAGCGGUUUGGAAAUUCUUGAAACCUUGGAUUAAAUAAUAAUAAUAAUAAUAGAAUUUUAAAUUGAAAGAAAAAGAAAAAGAAAAAGAAUGCGCUACAAAAAUAAUAAUAAUAAUUAUAUAUAUCUUCUUAUACUGGUAUUUUAAUUGUGCACUUGCCUAUGUGUCAAACUCACUAACAACUUCAAGAUUUAAAUGGUAAAUUUUGAAAUGAGGAAAGAAAUGCAAACCUAAAAGAAAAAGGAUAAAAAAAAGAGAAAUCCUCAAUGGGCCGAAUCCCUAGCCAGCCCAUUCCCCCUGCAUCGCCUGGGCGCGGCCCGCGCGCUCGCCCUCGCUGUCCCUGUCAAGCCGGGCCCGUUGGCCAGCCGCUUUGCGCCCACACUCCCUUCAUCCUGCUAUUACGCCUUACCUCGCUGACAACGUGCCCCCCUGUCAGCUUCUUCAACGGACUCCGCAGCUCGCAGAUCACGCAAUCCCCGGUAACAAACUCCGGCCAUGCGCGCCCGUGCCGGGUCUUUCGCUGACCAGCGGGGCCCAGUCGUCUUCCUUCUUCCCCCACUCGCUCGACGCAGACCCAAUCCCAACAGAAAUCGCCGCAUGGCUCGCCGCUCACUUCGGAUCGGCCGAACGACCUCCUGGAUAUCGAGCUGCCCCACCCGAUGGUGUAUAAGGGACCCCGGCACUCGAUUCAUACCUCUCGCCUCGCUGUUACUCGCCCUCCUCGCCACAAUAUCGAUAAUUUUGCGCCGUCGCGGGGAAAACAGGGGCUGCCGUGGGGGAACUUCGGCUAGCCGUCAUCCGCGCCUCCAGUGUGGGCCUCAGGGCCUUCCCUCGGUUGCGGGGCGGACGCUGGUGGCCUCGCCACCUGGAAUUGUCGCCGGGGACUUCACCAAUUGGUCGCCGGACCUCUCCUAUCACAAUCGAACCGCCGCGCAGCGAGGGCGGACUUCCUCGGCGCUUAAUCUGCGGUAUGGCUACCAUUUUCCUACUCGUCGUCUCUCCCUCUCCGUUUCGCACAAGGUUGCGCUAGGAUUAGGACUGGCCACCGCCGCACCGGGCGUGUGCGCCACCGCCCGGGGUCGAGCUGGGAGUGAGUUGGCGGGCGCCGUCGAUUUCCUAGCGCACGGCUGAGAUUAGGUUAAGUGCUGCCUAUUGAAUCAGGGUCGUUGGAUGCGUAGCCAACGGCUGGGAUCGGUGGCGGAAUACCGUUUCGUGGCAUUGGAUCGUGACCGUCCGAUUGGAAACUGGCGGAUGGAUCCGGCCCCGCGUUGCAUGUUGUAACUUAAUUGUUUUCAGAAAUAAAGUUUGUUCAUUGCAUGUUGUGUUUCAGGUUAUAGGUAGGGAACAAGAUCCCUGAUUGAGCCUUCACAUCUAGCAUUUCCCAUCGCUUCAGAAUGGCCCAAACAACAUUAGAUCAGGAAGUCAAUUCUCUCUAAACUGUCACAGAACAAGAAAUCUCUCGUACAAAUUAAUGCCUAAGGAACAAAGGAAAUAAAUUGAGAUUGAGGUGGUGCUGUUCAUCGGCACUUAGUCCACGAAAAGUGGGGGAGUGCGAUCUUCGUAGCUGCACGUUCUCGGAGCAUAGCUGAGCGAGAAGGGUGGUCGGUGUGCGACGAAUUGUGGGCCGGAGUUGGAGACCGCCGCUCGAUCCCUAAUUGACGUGGUCAGGUCGCGGUGAGCACAGGUUCUGUAUGGUGUAUCACCUUUCGGGCGACCCCCCGGGAACUGAAAUCUCGGACCCCAGCUGGAAAACCCACACCCUGAACCCGCCAACAUAUAUCCGCAUCUGAAAAGAGUCCAAAACAAAGAACAAUAUCUCACCCACUGAACGGCCCAAAGCAAGCAGGCAGGCCUUUGCGCCAGUAGGAUAAAUAAAUAAAUAAAGCCAAUUAAAGAUAAAUAAUAUACAACAGUUGAAUCAGAGAACCGACUAGAACGACAAAAUGAAUGAAGAGGGAGGGGGGUAAGCCAUGGCUGUUAAGCCUUCCUUCGCUGAGAUUUUUCUAUCCCUCCAACUCAGAUGCUGCUCUGGUCAUUUGUCAAAUUUAGAUGGGAAAGGAGGAAUAAUCUUGACCAUUGAAGAAAAAUUGGACUAGGAUAGCGCCAUCAGUGGUUGAAGCUCAGAUAUCAGAUGCAUACUAAGGAUGAAGGGAUAUACAUUUAUUCAGCACAACCAUCACCAUCAGUAGAUUAUUCAGCACACCAAGAAAAGCAUUGGCUUAUGGAUUAUUUAGCAUUGCGAUAGAUCGUGCAGUAGGCUUAGCACCACAUCAAUCUACAAAGAUACUUCCGGCUACCUGGAAAUGCGCGAAAAUCAAAUAAUCAGGAAACUCUGGAGUUGCAUGGCACCACGAAAAUGUGGAUUGACAUUUGAUACCGAACUGCAAUAAUCAUCACUGCUGCUGGUGUGCGCAAGGACUGAAAACUUGCCUAGCCCAGGCAACGAUUCUCGUGUAGGAUUUUGAUGGCCUGCCUGGAUAUAAAAGCUGCCUGGCAGGUAGCAAGCAAACACGCUCGGGACGAAUGGAGAUGGGGAUAAUCAGGUUAUUGUCAGGCGGAGCUCCAAGCUCCCAAGGGAUAGUAGCUUGCAGCGGUCGGGCACGGCGACGACAUCGGAAUUGGGGGUGGGGCAGUGGCAGAUGGUCCCGAAGGAUUUUGGACAGUUUCCGACCUUACAUCGCGGCCGGAGGGCUCGGGCCAUUGCCAAUGGUAGGCGGUCGCAAGUAGAGGCGUAGCUGGCGAAGGUGGUGGCGUGGGGAUUGGGGUAGGAUGGAGGCGGGAUAAAGGGAAGGAAGAUGAGGCACGCAGUGGCCACGACGGCGGCAUGACUGACGUCCAGAGGCAACUUCGGCGGUUCAGUUCCCGCAACAGGGUUUCAGUGAUUUUUUUCUUGUUACGGAUGUUUACCUCGGCUGCGACGGCGAACAGCAGCUUCUCCGCGGCGACGCCGGCACAGGCUUUCAGUUGUAGGGGCCUAGGAGUAGGCGUUCACAGAGGAGGCACCAGAUAGGAUCAUCCUCACCACCAGCAGUCAGGAAAGGGAGCAGGGGCACGGAGGUUACCUUGUUGCAGAGGAACUGGGGCCUAUGAGGCACAAAUCUGGUAGUUUCAACAAGGCCAACCCCAUGCCUGUCAAGGCCUGUGGAGCCCGGAAGAGGGCAGAGGCGUCGGGCAGCUCGGGCAGGACGAAGGCAAGAGGGAGGGGAGGGGAGGGGAGGGGCAGGGCAGGUGGUACUGGUGGGCACAGGAUAGCCCGUGGCUACUGAUGGCUAGAGGGGGCAUAUGCGGACUCCGCUUCGAGGAUUAUGGAAACCGUUGCGCUUCGAGGAUUACGGAAGCUGUUGCGCUUCGAGGAUUACGGAAACCGUUGCUGAUCGCCUGAUCCACACGGACUCUGCCCUCCAUGGCCUAUAUAAACUAGCCACUAGUCGUUGUGUUGCCAAGGACCGAGUGGAUUGCAGCGGAGAAUUCGCCAUCGUAGCGCGAUCUUCGUAGCGUGCUGCACGUUCCUAGAGCAUAGUUGAGCGAGAAGGGUGGCCGGUGCGCGACGAAUUGCAGGCCAGAGUUGGAGACCGCCGCCCAAUCAGCUAGUUGACGUGGUAAGGUCGUGGCGCCACAAGAUUCGCGGUGAACACAGGUUCGUCUCUAUUGUUGUUGUUGUUCCUACAUGGUGUAUCACCGCGUAGAUUUAUAGUGUGUUUGGUUUGAGGAAUGAAGUGAUGUAUCUUCUUCUCACUCCUCACUUUUUUAUUUGUUUUGUGGAAUAGAAUGGGUUGAUUCAUCACCACCUCAUUCCUCAUAAGCUAAUAAUUAGUAUAUACAUGAGGAGUGAAUUGAUUCCACCAAAAUUGAUGGAAUGAACUUAUGAUGCAUCAUCUCAUGAAAUAUAGAGUGACUCCACAAACCAAACACACAAUUAGAGUGCGGGGGCGUCGGGUCGCAAAUCACCGGUGGGCGCCGCUGUGGGCUAAGGGCGGCCUCAUGGAGGUGGGAGAGGGUCGCUGGACCGUCAAUCAGUGGCUAGGAUUAAGAAUCUAUUAUACCGUUUCGACUUGGGAUAGGGUUGAACCGCUGAAGGUUAGUCUGUUUGGCAGAAUUGAUUAAGUUAGUUGCUCGGUUUAUUAGAUUGAUUGAGUUAGUUGCUUGGUUGUUGAGAAAAUCAGGAAGGCUUUAUCCCUUGUUAGUUCGUUGAGAAAAUAAAGGAGCCUCUAACUUUAAAGAGGAACGGACGACCGAAACUCAUCAUCCCAAACUCCCCUAUAUAUCCCUUUGAUAUACUCUCCUCUGCGAUCAGCCAGGAACCCUCGCCAGUGAAUGCUAAUUUUCUGUUUGUUGUUUGCAGAACCUUUUUAAACGAUCUUGGCUUCCUGGAAUUAGGAACGUGGAUUUGGUAAGUAUUAUCAUCCAUCCAGAUUUUCGUCUUUGCGUCAGUACUAUUCCUGUUCACGUUCCAAGAGUGAAUUUUGUAGAUCUGCUCCUCCAAUUGCGACCUUUAGCAAGGCUAACAGGUUGUGUGGUGCAGUGACUAUGCAACUAAAACAGCUGUGGAGUCUACUACUCUCGAGAAUCUUGCCUAAGCUGCUCGGUCUUCCUGGUAUUUUGCUGAAGAAAUUCCGAAAGGAAGGUGUGAUGGAAUUGGAUGCUGCUGCAUUGCCAGAGCUGCCACAGGAUGUGUUGAUGGACAUCUUUGGUACACUUGAGGUCCCUGACCUCAUCCGAGCAGGCUCGGUUUGCUCGUCAUGGCAUGCUACCUACAAAUGCUUGCUCGACCUGAGGCAAUACAAGCAACCCCAGACACCAUGCCUGUUCUACACUUGUGAAUCUGCCGGUAGCAACGUAGGGUUUCUAUACAGCCUCAAGGAAAAUAGGUCCUACAAGUUAACUCUACCGGAGCCACCCAUCCGCAGUAGGUUACUGAUCGGGUCCUCCAACGGUUGGUUGAUUACUGCAGAUGAGAGGUCGGAGCUGCACCUUGUGAAUCCCAUAACUGGAGAACAGGUUGCACUUCCCUCUGUGAUUACCUUAGAGCAUGUGAAGCCCAUCUUUGAUGCAUCAGGUACUAUCUGUAUGUACGAGUUGUCAUAUCAGACACCACCCGACCUGUUUGAUCUCGGUGAUCUGCGCGAUGAACUCUACUUCAAGGCAUUUGUGUUUCCCGAUCCAUCCACCACUGGAAGCUACAUCGUGGUUCUUAUUCAUGAGCCAUAUUCACGGCUUUCGUUUGCACGACCGGGAGAUGACAAGUGGACCUGGGUUGGACAAGGUAGCCAAUAUAAAGACUGCACAUAUGUGGAUGGUCUUUUGUAUACAGUGAAUUACUCUGGAGAAAUUGAUGCGUUUGAUUUUACCGCGUCCCCUGUUAAAAUGACAGUAAUUAUGAAAGAGCUGAAGUAUCAUGUAUGUGAAAACAUGUACAUUAUUCAGACUCCAUGGGGUGAUCUGCUGCAUGUUUGGAGGACUAUUGACGUUCCACCCAAUGCUCCGUCGUGGGUCCCUGGAAAAUGCAUGGUCGAAACCUUAAAAAUACAAGUGCAUAAAGUGGACUUGGAAGCAAAGCAACGAGUGGAAAUAAACAGAUUGCAGUGUGAUAGUGUUUUAUUUCUUGGCCACAACGAUUCACUUUGCCUUAGUACUCAAGUACAUCCAGAACUCAAGUCAAAUCAUGCAUAUUUCACUGACGAUUUUAAAGAAUUGACUGUUUUAUUAAAAAAUUGCAUGCGUGAUAUGGGAGUUAUGGACUUGGAAAAUAGUGUCAAGAAGGAAAUUGUCUCUCAAAUUUGGUCCAACUGGCCCUGUCCCACUUGGAUAACACCUAAUCUUAUGAAGUUGAAUCAGACAUUCAACAGAUAGCUUUUUAGGUAUUAUUAUUUAGUACCUUUGUUUUGUUAUUUUUUUAUCGAAAAUGGUGUAAUCGAUAUUAUGAUAAAAGAAUUGUACGUCAUACAAUGGUCAUUUCUUCCUAAUAAGAUGUGUAGCGGUAAAAACGAUAAUCGCUGCUUGCAGAUUCAGAGGGAACGAAUAAAUUUUCACCAGCAUUUCUUGUGAUAGGAGCCAUCAAUUUAGGGUUCCACACUUAGGCUAGUUUGCCCCUUCGGGAUUGAAGGGAAUCGAGGGAGAAAUUAGUUUAUUUCUACCUAAAUCUCCUCCAAUCCAGGAGAACAUUUGAGUUUCUAAACUAGCUCUCAUUGAUUGCAGAUAAUUAAAUCCAAGAAGCAGAUAGUCGUUCCAUUUGACAUGCGGAAACAUGUAAAAACUAGUGAACUUUAUAGUCUCGAGAAUAUAUUAAUACAAUCCACCGAUGGUGUACAACAUAUUCAAUGGAACGUUUUAUAUGUACAAACCUAAACGACAAGCAUAAUUGUACAACAACACACAUUAAAGAAGUUUGCCAAAAUAACGAACAAUGAAACUAAACAUUUAACAACCCUGUAGAAUUGUGAUGCUCAUGUUAUUCAGCGAUCUUCGCGCGUGUACUGACUUGACUGAUCAGUUUCAUAAUUCCUAGUAGUAAAAUAUACAGGUUCUUUGGGGUAGGAAGUGUCGGCGUUUCGGACCCGGGGGGUCAGUUAGCUAACCAGUAAAUUUGUCGCUGCGUGCCCCUGCCCAGAUGGGUUGGCGCUAGAUGGAACACAAGGGGAAACACGGCUUGUAUUAUCUCGCACCGGGGGUGUGCUCGUAGUAGGGGUUACAAGCGUCACGGGAGAGAGAGAGAGAGAGCCUGUUCGUUUGCUCGUUCUCCCCGCGCGACCCCCCCCCCCCCCCCCCGCAGGAAGGCCCUGGACCUCCCUUUUAUAGAUGCAAGGAGAGGGUCCAGAUGUACAAUGGGGGGUGUAGCUAGGCGCUAACGUGUCUGGCAGAGAAGUGCCUGAGCCCUGUGUACAUGCCAACGUGGCUGUCGAAGAGAUGCUUGAGCCCUGUGUACGCGAUAACGUGGCCGUCGGAGAAGUGCCCGAGCCCUAUGGAGGCACAGCUGGCGGUGCGGCUGGGAUUCUGCUGACGUCUCCUUGCUUCCGUAGGGGGUUGAGAACCACUGACGUCAAGAACGUACGCGGGGAACCAUCAUUACCUGUUACCGGGGCGAGCCAGAUGGGACGCCGGUCUUGUUCCCUCGUAGCCUGAGCUAGUUAGGGGUAUGGUAAUGAUGUAUCCCCUGUGGCGCGGUCGGUCCGAGCCCAAGGUCGGGCGAGGCGGAGACUUCUCCUGAGGCCGAGGCCGGGGUCGGGCGAGGACGUGAUUCCUCCCGAGGCCGAGGCUGAGGCCGAGCCCUGGGGUCGGGCAAGGCGGAGACCUCCUCCCGAGGCCGAGGCCUAAGGUCGGGCGAGGCGGAGCUUCCUGUUGCGCCCAAGGCUGAACUCGGCUUGUUGUCAGUCUUACUCCGGUGGGUGGCACAACAGUCGGAGCGGGGCGAGCGGCGCUGUUUUCCUGUCAGAUCGGUCUAUGGAGGGGUGAAGUGAGUGCGGUCACUUCGACCUUGCCGACUGAGGCGCGCGUGUCAGGAUAAGGUGCCAGGCGGUCUUCGCAUUGAAUGCGCCUGCGACACGGUCGGUUGGUAAGGCGAUUUGGCCAAGGUUGCUUCUCGACGAAGCCUAUCCGAGCUGGGCUUCGGGCGAGCCGAGGGUGCGCCCACCGCCUGAGGAGGCCCUCGGGUGAGGCGUGAAUUAGUCCGGGACUACUGUUCCCGCCCGAGGCCGGGUCGGGUGAGGCGAGAUUGCGUCCCUUGGUAGACGAGGUCUUGACCUGAACCGUGCCCAUCAGUCUUUGCAGUUUGUGCUGAGGGUGUUUACCAGCCGUGUUUAGGAGUGUUGGGGGUACCCCUAAUUACGGUACCCGACAGUAGCCCCCGAGCCUCGAAGGGAGUGUUGGUACUCGCUUGGAGGCUUUGCCGCAUUUCUUUGUGAGGGGACCGACCUUUCUCGGUUAUGCUUUGUUUCGGUGGGUGCACGCGAGCGCACCCGACGGGUGUAGCCCCCGAGGCCUCGGAGGAGUGGUUUGACUCCUCUGAGGUCUUAAUGCCUUUCGUGAUGCUUCGGCCGACCUUGUUGUUCCCUCAUGCGGCCUGGCCGUAGCCCGGGUGCAUGGUCAGGUUCUGAGUUUUUAGGCUGGUUUGUUGACGCUGUCAACAGUUUGGCCAUAGCCGGGUUGCGAGAGCAGCCCCCGAGCCUCUGCACGGAGCGAGAGGACGAUCAAGGACUAUCUCGACUUUUAUUAUACGCCCCUUCAUCGCCUUUCCGCAAGGAGGAAGGGGGGGAAGCGCCAUGUUGCCCUCGGAGGGUGCCGAACAUGGUGUCUCCAGUGAGUUGCUAACGGGUGAUAUGAGUGGACGCCCGUGCCCCGUUCGAUAAGGGUCGGCUAGUGGCCCAGAGGCACGCUCCAAAAGUACCUGCAGGUGAUUUGCCAGACCCGGACCCAUUCGAUAGGGUCUGAGGGCUCGAUGCCUCCCUCUGGUGGGAUUCCGUUACAAAAUCGCUCCUACUGGUCUCGGAAAUGUCCUAGGGUACCUCGGGAGCGUAGCCCGAGCCUCGGCCAUGUAACGGACGUACCUAGAGUCAUCCCUCACUCUGCGUGCUCUGGGGCGGCUGUCGAACCCUUCUUAGGGGCCAGCCUUCGAACCCCUGAUCAGUAAAGGGCGCGGAGCCCGAGUGCUCUGGGGCAGCUGUCGAACCCUUCCAAUGGGCCAACCUUCGAACCCCUGAUUAGUAAUGGGCUCGGAGCCUGUUCCCUUCGCUGAGAAGGAUCCUUUUCGAAAUAUCCCCUUUCCCGGUCCCUGUAGUAAGAGAGAGAAAGAAGAAGAGGAAAAGGAUAUGAAUUUAAAUGGUGUGGCGCACCUUUUUUGACGCGGUCGUCAUGGCGGAGGUGAAACGACGCCCGCUUCGCCUGCCAAAGGUGUCGCUUGCCCUGCCGAGGAGUUAAUGCAACGGGACAGGCGAUUCGCGGGGCGGCCGUUGUGCGUGCUCGAGUCGUUCGAGGAACGGAACACGGGCGCGUCGUCUUCAUGCCAUGGGAGAGGGCUCUCCUGCCGCUUCAGGAGGGGACGCGAGCCCGCAGGCGAUUCGACUGUUGCUUCUGCCCGUCUGCUGCUGCAAUUACUGCAGGGCUGCCUCAAGUCGCGGCACUGUUCCGCAUUCGAGAAGACAUGGCAUUGGCGCAAGUGGCGGUGCGGUUUCUUUGCACGCAGUAACCGUCGCACCGGUUGCAUGACAUGCAGGCCCGGGCCUUCACGCUGACCCACUGGACACGAUGAAGCCGAAAGGGUGCACAACCGUGGUGCGGUUGCACGCCCCUUGCAUAGCGGUCCGCCCUUUCGCCCGCUGGUUCUGGCGAGGAUGGAGGAACGCUUAUAACCGCGGGGCGGUUACCUGCUUCGUGUGCGGCGGUUCGGCUUCUUCUGUUUCCGGUCAGCUCGCAUGACAUGUGGGACCCAGCCCCCGCGUCGGAGGGUGGGAACCCUGGAGCUCAUCGGUGGAGACUUUGCCCAUGGCGCUUGGAAUGCGAGUGGGGAGAGCCGCCUUUAAAAAUGGAUCGAUCCCCCGGGCAGUAGACAUGCCUCCGCACUCCCCUCAUGCAUUGCGCCAUUCCACCUUCCGAGCCCCCGGAUGGGGUGCACCCGUGUUGCCUUCGUCUUGCUGCCGUUGGAGGAGCGUGACCCCGCGGGGGUUGGCGCUCUUCAGACAUCGCUCGACUUCAAGGAUUUUCAUCAGGCAGCCCGGCUGCAGUCCCCCGCCGGCGGUCACCCAGGAUGAUGACCGUAGGCCUUGUGGUGGGGAGAAGCAAGCCGGGCUGCGGCCUCUGCCCCACCCUCAGCUUCAAGGAUGUUCAUCAUCCUCGCUGUGGCGGAGGGCGAGCCGAGCCAGGGUUCUACCUCCCGCAUGGCUGGCAAGCUGCUUCUUCCUUCAGCAUUCAGGGGAGAGAGCGCUCACCGGCCUUGCGGAGGGGGCGAACUUCGACAACGCUGGGUCGGUCGGCCGCAAGCGUCGUCAGCUGCAGCGUGCCUGGCUUGCUGGCUCAGCUGGCUCUGGCGCGGCCUCCGACGCCGCCUCAUGCCGCUUGAUCCGGGCGUUGCUGUCCGUCCACCGCACGGGCGGUGUCGCGCCGUGCGCACCGGGGACCGUCCAAGACGUCGUACGUCGCAUGGGUGGCGUUCGUGUUCUUGGAUUGUCUUGUCCUCACUCUGGCACGAUGCCUCCGCGCGGAGGUCGGCGCCGGCCCAUCUGGGAGGACGUGAGUGGGGAUCUGCCGGUGCAGGCUGGGGCGACUGCCAUUUGCCGGUGCGGUGUCAGUGGGCAGGUGGCCGCUAUCGUCGGUGCUGAGGUGGUGGUCGCCAGAGGAGGUUGUCUCCGCCGAUGAGACCGUCGGCGCCACAUGCGGUCGCCGGCGAGCCACCCAGAGUUUGUUAUCCCGCAGGCCCUCUGGUGUGGAGGUUGUUCAUACCCGCGGGAGUGGAACCGGAGUCCCGUUUGUAAUGGCACCCUGAGUAUGGGUGUUUGUUCAUUGUGGCCGCUGAGGCCUGAACAUUUGGGCAUUUUAGCGUAAUGUCAUGUUUCUUCCUCAUUUUGAGCACUAGGACAUGCCUGUCGGCUAGCGGAACCACUUAACCGAGCGUGAGUUGCCUUGCGCGGAAGGUGACGAGUGAGGUAUCCGUAUCCCAAAGGCGUAGGAGUCCCUCGGCUCGGUCGGCCUUGCCGCUCAAGGCCUCUCUUGCUCAGUUUUAGAACCUUCGGCCGCUCUGCGAUGAGCUGGAGCCAGAGGCAGCGGUGUCGGCGUGGACAGAGGUGGAGUCGGCUCGAAAAGAGGAUUCGUCGACCCGGGAGCAGGCGACUUCCUAGGCCGAGGUAGUGCAGCAGCGGCGGCUGGAGCUUGGCCAGGUCAUCCGCGAGCGGGACCAACCCCGGAGUCAUGCUGUCGAGGCCAUGAGCCGGGUUGAGGUCCUCGGAGGACAGCUGGUUGAGGCUUCAGAGCGGCCAGUCGAGGUGUCCGCUCAGGCCGGGACCCUGGUGGAGACGCUGGUUGUGAGGGCCCAAGCGCGGUGCUGGCGUCCUCCUUCAAGGUGGAGAUCCUUUCGCCCGUAUCGCCGUCCGAGGCUGGGCCAGGUUCCGCCGAGGGUGGAAACGUCGCCGAGGGUGCUGCUGCUCCCCCUGCCGAUGUCUGAACCUACAUGAACAGUUUGUCUGUAGUAUGCGUAUGUUUUUCGCGGACGCUGAGGCCUAAACACUUUUAUCGUCGUGUUAUAAAGGUGUGUUUCCUUUCCUCUCGUUUUGAGUAUCAAGACUUGUUCGUCGGUAGCAGAAUCGCUUAUCCGAGCGAGAGUUACUUUUCGCGGAAGGUGAUGAGUGAGGUAUCCGUAUCCCGGAGGCGUAGGAGUCCCUCGGCUCGGUCAACCUUGCCGCUUACGUGCACUCUCACUCGUUUGCAGGAUUCUGUUAUCGAUAUAUUCGAGAAGGCACGAAAGUCGUUUUCUACCCGAGCGUUAGGACUUGUUCGGUAGCAGAAUCGCUUAUCCGAGCGUGAGUUACUUUUCGCGGAAGGUGAUGAGUGAGGUAUCCAUAUCCCGGAGGCGUAGGAGUCCCUCGGCUCGGUCGGCCUUGCCGCUUACGUGUACUCUCAUCGUUUUUAGGACCUUGCUAUCGAUAUAGUCGAAAGCGCGAAAGUCGUUUUGGUAGAAAACUUUUCCGAGGAAAAUUUUGACGCAGAGGGGGUUCCCCCCUUCUAGCCCCCGAGGGAGGGUCGGGCUUUGCCGAGGCAAGGCUGAUCCUUCCUUGACGGUUAGACUUUAUUUACGUAUGUAAAGGAAACGAGGUAUAUGAACGACUUGAAACAUCUUAAGGGUAGAAGCGACGUAGCUGUUGGAUGUUCCACGCGUUGCUGUAGACCUCGCCUUGAUCGUUGGCCAGCUUGUAUGUUCCGGGCUUCAAAAUCUUGGCGAUGAUGAACGGCCCUUCCCAGGGAGGAGUAAGCUUGUGGUGCCCUCGGGCGUCUUGUCGCAGCCGAAGUACCAAGUCUCCCACCUGGAAGCCUCGACGCCGAACCCUUCGGGCGUGGUAGCGUCGCAGGGACUGCUGAUACCGCGCCGAGUGUAGUAAGGCCACGUCCCGAGCUUCUUCGAGCUGGUCCAGUGAGUCUUCUCGGCUGGUCUGGUUGCUUUGGUCAUCGUACACCUUUGUCCUCGGGGAACCAUAUUCUAAGUCUGUGGGUAAGAUAGCCUCGGCCCCAUAGACUAGAAAGAACGGCGAGAAACCCGUGGCUCGGCUCGGCGUCGUCCUCAGACUCCAGACCACCGAGGGUAGCUCUUUCAUCCACCGCUUGCCAAACUUGUUGAGGUCGUUGUAGAUCCUUGGUUUUAGUCCCUGCAAAAUCAUACCGUUGGCACGCUCCACCUGCCCAUUCGUCAUGGGGUGAGCUACGGCGGGCCAGUCCACACGAUGUGGUGGUCCUCACAGAAGUCCAGGAACUUAUUCCCAGUGAACUGCGUGCCAUUGUCGGUGAUGAUGGAGUUCGGGACCCCAAAGCGAUGGAUGAUGUUUGUGAAGAACGCCACCACCUGCUCGGACCUGAUGCUGGUUAGGGGUCGGACCUCGAUCCACUUGGAGAAUUUGUCGAUGGCGACCAGCAGGUACGAGAAGCCCCCGGGUGCCUUCUGCAAGGGACCGACGAGGUCCAGACCCCACACGGCAAACGACCAGGUGAUGGGUAUUGUCUGUAGGGCCUGAGCGGGCAGGUGUGUCUGUCUUGCGUAGAAUUGACACCCUUGGCAGGAGCGUACCAUUCUAGUGGCGUCGGCCACCGCGGUCGGUCAGUAGAAGCCUUGUCGGAAAGCGUUCCCCACGAGGGCUCGAGGUGCUACAUGGUGACCGCAAGCCCCCGAGUGUAUUUCUUGCAACAGCUCCUGUCCUUGGGCGACGGAUAUGCAUCGUUAGAGAAUGCUUGAGGGGCUGCGGUGGUAGAGCUCCUUUUCAUCACCCAGUAAGACGAACGACUUGGUGCGCCGCGCCAGUCGCCGAGCUUCGGCCUUGUUGAGGGGCAGCUCUCCUCGGAGGAGAUAUUCUAGGUACGGGGCCUGCCAGUUCGGGUUUGGUGUGACCCCAUUCCGCUCUCCCUCGACGCGCAAGGUCUCACCCUCAGCGGUCGAGGGUACCUUGGGCUGGGUCGAGGCCCCCUCGGGCUCGGGCGUGUCGUCGAUCUUGACGGAGGGUUGAUGUAUGUCUCUGGAGAAGACGUCCGGGGGAACCGUUGUCCGCCCCGAGGCUAUUUUCGCCAGCUCAUCUGCAGUCUCGUUGUACCGUCGAGCGAUAUGAUUGAGCUCCAACCCGUAGAACUUGUCUUCCAGGCGCCGAACUUCGUCGCAAUAGGCCUCCAUCUUCCGAUCGCGGCAGUGGGAGUUCUUCAUGACUUGGUCAAUGACAAGUUGCGAGUCGCCACGAGCAUCGAGGCGGCGAACCCCUAGCUCGACAACGAUGCGUAGCCCGUUAACCAAAGCCUCAUACUCGGCCACGUUGUUUGAUGCCGGAAAAUGGAGGCGCAGAAAGUAGCGCACAUGUUUCCCGAGGGGUGAGAUGAAGAGCAGGCCCGCACCUGCUCCUGUUUUCAUCAGCGACCCAUCGAAGUACAUGGUCCAAAGUUCGGGUUGGAUUGGGGCUGUCGGCAAUUGGGUGUCGACCCAUUCAGCCACGAAGUCCGCCAAGACUUGGGAUUUUAUGGCCUUCCGAGGAGCGAACGAGAUUGUCUCGCCCAUGAGUUCCACUGCCCACUUUGCUAUCCUACCCGAGGCCUCUCGGCACUGGAUGAUCUCCCCCAGGGGGAAGGAUGACACCACAGUCACUGGAUGAGACUCGAAGUAGUGUCGCAAUUUUUGCCGCGUCAAAAUUACUGCGUAUAGUAGCUUCUGGAUUUGUGGGUAGCGGAUCUUGGUCUCGGAUAGCACUUCGCUGAUGAAGUAGACCGACCUCUAGACGAGCUGUGCAUGCCCUUCUUCUCGUCUCUCGACUACGAUCGCGGAGCUGACCACCUGAGUGGUUGCGGCUACGUAGAUCAAGAGGGCUUCUCCCGCAGCGGGGGGCACCAAGACGGGCGCAUUUGUAAGGAGUGCAUUCAAGUUUCCGAGGGCUUCCUCGGCCUCGGGGGUCCAAGUGAAGCGCUCGACCUUCCUUAAGAGGCGGUACAAGGGUAAUCCUUUCUCGCCAAGGCGCGAGAUGAAGCUGCUCAGAGCCGCAAGGCAUCCCAUGACCCUUUGUACUCCUUUCAAAUCUUUGAUAGGCCCCAUGUUGGUGAUGGCCGUGAUUUUCUCUGGGUUGGCCUCGAUGCCCCGCUCGGAGACGAUGAACCCCAGGAGCAUGCCUCGGGGGACUCCGAAGACACACUUCUCGGGAUUGAGCUUCACGCCCUUCGCUCUCAGACACUUGAAUGUCAUUUCAAGGUCAGAGAGGAGGUCGAAGGCUUUCCUCGUCUUGACAACGAUGUCAUCGACGUAAGCCUCGACCGUUCGGCCGAUGUGCUCUCCGAACACGUGGUUCAUGCACCUUUGGUAUGUCGCACCUGCAUUCCUCAAGCCAAAUGGCAUAGUAGUAUAACAGUACAUGCCAAAAGGAGUGAUGAAAGAAGUCGCGAGCUGGUCGGAUUCUUUCAUCUUGAUUUGGUGAUAACCUGAAUAGGCAUCAAGGAAUGACAGGGUUUCGCACCCAGCAGUGGAGUCCAUAAUUUGAUCGAUGCGAGGCAGAGUGUAGGGAACCUUCGGACAUGCUUUGUUUAGACCAGUGUAGUCUACACACAUCCUCCAUUUCCCACUGAUAGUCGCCUAGAGGGGGGGGGGUGAAUAGGGCGAAACUGAAAUUUACAAAUAUAAACACAACUACAAGCCGGGGUUAGCGUUAGUAAUAAGAAACGAGUCCGCAGGAGAGGGCGCAAAACAAAUCCCAAUCGAAUAAGCAAGUGAGACACGGAGAUUUGUUUUACCGAGGUUCGGUUCUUCCAAACCUACUCCCCGUUGAGGAGGCCACAAAGGCCGGGUCUCUUUCAACCCUUCCCUCUCUCAAACGGUCCCUCGGACCGAGUGAGCUUCUCUUCUCAAAUCAAAGCCGGGAACAAAACUUCCCCGCAAGGGCCACCACACAAUUGGUGCCUCUUGCCUUGAUUAUAAUGGAGUUGUGUUCUCAAGAACAAGUGAGAAAGAAAAGAAGCAAUCCAAGCGCAAGAGCUCAAAUGAACACGGCAAAUCACUCUCACUAGUCACUAGGGCUUUGUGUGGAAUUGGAGAGGAUUUGAUCUCUUUAGUGUGUCUAGAAUUGAAUGCUAGAGCUCUUGUAGUAGUUGAGAAGUGGAAAACUUGGAUACUAUGAAUGGUGGGGUGGUUGGGGUAUUUAUAGCCCCAACCACCAAACUUGACCGUUGGCUGGAGGCGUCUGCUCGAUGGCGCACCGGACAGUCCGGUGCACACCGGACAGUCCGGUGCCCCUGCCACGUCAUCACUGUCGUUGGAUUCUGACCGUUGGAGCUUCUGACUUGUGGGCCCUCCUGGAUGUCCGGUGCACACCGGACAUGUACUGUUUGAUGUCCGGUGCACCGGUAUGGGCAUGUCUGACGUCUGCGCGCGCUGCGCGCGCAUUAAAUGCACCGCAGGGAGCCGUUGGCGCCGAAAAGAGCCGUUGCUCCGCUGGUACACCGGACAGUCCGGUGCACACCGGACAGUCCGGUGAAUUUUAGCGGAGCGGCUGCCACGCGAACCCGAGGCUGGCGAGUUCCGGAGACCGUGCUUCCUUGGAGCACCGGACAUGUCCGGUGCACACCGGACAGUCCGGUGAAUUAUAGCGCGCCGGCUUCCGAGAAAUCCCGAGAGUGAAGAGUUUGAGUCUGAGUCCCCUGGUGCACCGGACAGGUACUGUUUACUGUCCGGUGGCACACCGGACAGUCCGGUGCGCCAGACCAGGGGUGCCCUCGGUUGCCCCUUUGCUCCUUUAUUGAAUCCAAAACUUGGUCUUUUUAUUGGCUGAGGGUGAACCUUUUACACCUGUAUAAUCUACACACUUGGGCAAACUAGUUAGUCCAAUUAUUUGUGUUGGGCAAUUCAACCACCAAAAUUAUUUGAGAACUAGGUGUAAGCCUAAUUCCCUUUCAAUCUCCCCCUUUUUGGUGAUUGAUGCCAACACAAACCAAAGCAAAUAUAGAAGUGAAUAAUUGAACUAGUUUGCAUAAUGUAAGUGUAAAGGUUGCUUGGAAUUGAGCCAAUAAAACUACUUACAAGAUAUGCAUGGAAUGUUUCUUUCUUAGAUAGCAUUUUGGACCACGUUUGUACCACGAGUUUUGUUUUUGCAAAUUCUUUUGUAAAUCCUUUUCAAAGUUCUUUUGCAAAUAGUCAAAGGUAAAUGAAUAAGAGUUUGCAAAGCAUUUUCAAGAUUUGAAAUUGUCUCCCCCUGUUUCAAAUGCUUUUCCUUUGACUAAACAAAACUCCCCCUAAAAAGAUCCACCUCUUAGUGUUCAAGAGGGUUUUGAUAUACCAUUUUUGAAAUACUACUUUCUCCCCCUUUUGAACACAAUAGGAAAACCAAUUGAUAAAUACUUAAUACUAAGUCUUUUUGAAAAAGGUGGUGGUGCGGUCCUUUUGCUUUGGGCUCAUACUUUCUCCCCCUUUUUGGCAUGAAUCGCCAAAAACGGAAUCAUCAGAGCCCUUAGGUACUAUCUUCCCCUUUGGUCAUAAGUAAAUGAGUUAAGAUUAUACCAAAGACGAAGUCCUUUUCUUUGAUGCUCAUUUCUCCCAAAAAAAUAGAGAGAUGCUUGGAGUGAUGGCGAAGUAUGAGUUACGGAGUGGAAGCCUUUGUCUUUCGCCGAAGACUCCAAUUCCUUUCAAUGUACCUAUGACUUGGUUUAAAAUAGACUUGAAAACGCAUUAGUCAUAGCAUAUGAAAGAGACAUGAUCAAAGGUUCAUUUAUGAGCUAUGUGUGCAAGCUAGCAAAAGAAAUUUCUAGAAUCAAGAAUAUUGAGCUCAUGCCUAAGUCGGGUAAAAGAUUGUUCAUCAAGUGGCUUGGUAAAGAUAUCGGCUAAUUGGUUUUUAGUAUUAAUGUAAGAAAUCUCGAUAUCCCCUUUUUGUUGGUGAUCCCUAAGAAAAUGAUACCGAAUGGCUAUGUGCUUAGUGCGGCUAUGCUCGACGGGAUUGUCGGCCAUUUUGAUUGCACUCUCAUUAUCACAUAGCAAAGGGACUUUGGUUAAUUUGUAACCGUAGUCCCGCAGGGUUUGCCUCAUCCAAAGCAAUUGCGCGCAACAAUGGCCUGCGGCAAUAUACUCGGCUUCGGCGGUGGAAAGAGCGACCGAAUUUUGCUUCUUUGAAGCCCAAGACACCAAGGAUCUUCCCAAGAACUGGCAAGUCCCCGAUGUGCUCUUCCUAUUAAUUUUGCAUCCUGCCCAAUCGGCAUCCGAAUAACCAAUCAAAUCAAAUGUGGAUCCCCGAGGGUACCAAAGCCCAAACUUAGGAGUAUAAGCCAAAUAUCUCAAGAUUCGUUUUACGGCCGUAAGGUGGGAUUCCUUAGGGUCGGAUUGAAAUCUUGCACACAUGCAUACGGAAAGCAUAAUGUCCGGUCGAGAUGCACAUAAAUAAAGUAAUGAACCAAUCAUCGACCGGUAUACCUUUUGAUCCACGGACUUACCUCCCGUGUCGAGGUCGAGAUGCCCAUUUGUUCCCAUGGGUGUCUUGAUGGGCUUGGCAUCCUUCAUCCCAAACUUGCUUAGAAUAUCUUGAGUAUACUUCGUUUGGCUAAUGAAAGUGCCCUCUUGGAGUUGCUUGACUUGGAAUCCUAGAAAAUAUUUCAACUCCCCCAUCAUAGACAUCUCGAAUUUCUUUGUCAUGAUCCUACUAAAUUCUUCACAUGUAGAUUCGUUAGUAGACCCAAAUAUAAUAUCAUCAACAUAAAUUUGGCAUACGAACAAAUCAUUGUCAAGAGUUUUAGUGAACAAAGUAGGAUCGGCCUUGCCGACUUUGAAGCCAUUAGCAAUAAGGAAAUCUCUUAGGCAUUCAUACCAUGCUCUUGGGGCUUGCUUGAGCCCAUAAAGCGCCUUAGAGAGCCUAUAGACAUGAUUAGGAUACUCACUGUCUUCAAAGCCGGGAGGUUGCUCAACAUAGACCUCUUCCUUGAUUGGUCCGUUGAGGAAAGCACUUUUCACGUCCAUUUGAUAGAGCUUAAAGCCAUGGUAAGUAGCAUAGGCCAAUAAUAUGCGAAUUGACUCAAGCCUAGCUACGGGUGCAUAGGUUUCACCGAAAUCCAAACCUUCGACUUGUGAAUACCCUUUGGCCACGAGUCGAGCUUUGUUCCUUGUCACCACACCAUGCUCAUCUUGCUUGUUGCGGAAGACCCAUUUGGUUCCUACAACAUUUUGGUUAGGACGUGGAACUAAAUGCCAUACCUCGUUCCUCGUGAAAUUGUUGAGCUCCUCUUGCAUCGCCACCACCCAAUCCGAAUCUUGGAGAGCUUCCUCUACCCUGUGUGGCUCAAUAGAGGAAACAAAAGAGUAAUGCUCACAAAAAUGAGCAACACGAGAUCGAGUAGUUACCCCCUUAUGAAUGUCGCCGAGGAUGGUGUCGACGGGGUGAUCUCGUUGGAUUGCUUGGUGGACUCUUGGGUGUGGCGGUCUUGGUUCUUCCUCAUCCUCCUUUUCUUGAUCAUUUGCAUCUCCCCCUUGAUCAUUGCCAUCAUCUCGAGGUGGCUCAUCUUCUUGAUUUUGCCCUUCAUCAACUUGAGCCUCAUCCUCAUUUUGAGUUGGUGGAGAUGCUUGCAUGGAGGAGGAUGGUUGAUCUUGUGCACUUGGAGACUCUUCGGAUUCCUUAGGACACACAUCCCCAAUGGACAUGUUCCUUAGCGCUAUGCAUGGAGCCUCUUCAUUACCUAUCUCAUCAAGAUCAAUUUGCUCUACUUGAGAGCCGUUAGUUUCAUCAAACACAACGUCACAUGAGACUUCAACUAGUCCAGUGGACUUGUUAAAGACCCUAUAUGCCCUUGUGUUUGAGUCAUAUCCUAGUAAAAAGCCUUCUAUAGUUUUAGGAGCAAAUUUAGAUUUUCUACCUCUUUUAACAAGAAUAAAGCAUUUGCUACCAAAAACUCUAAAGUAUGAAAUGUUGGGCUUUUUACCGGUUAGGAGUUCAUAUGAUGUCUUCUUGAGGAUUUGGUGAAGAUAUAACCGGUUGAUGGCGUAGCAGGCGGUGUUGACUGCUUCGGCCCAAAACCGGUCCGGUGUCUUGUACUCAUCAAGCAUGGUUCUUGCCAUGUCCAAUAGAGUUCGAUUCUUCCUCUCCACUACACCAUUUUGUUGUGGAGUGUAGGGAGAAGAGAACUCAUGCUUGAUGCCCUCCUCCUCAAGGAAGCUUUCAAUUUGAGAGUUCUUGAACUCCGUCCCAUUGUCGCUUCUAAUUUUCUUGAUCCUUAAGCCGAACUCAUUUUGAGCUCGUCUCAAGAAUCCCUUUAAGGUUUCUUGGGUUUGAGAUUUUUCCUGUAAAAAGAAUACCCAAGUGAAGCGAGAAUAAUCAUCCACAAUAACAAGACAAUACUUACUCCCGCCGAUGCUUAUGUAAGCAAUCGGGCCGAAUAGAUCCAUGUGGAGUAGCUCAAGCGGCCUGUCGGUCGUCAUGAUGUUCUUGUGUGGAUGAUGGACACCAACUUGCUUCCCUGCCUGGCAUGCACUACAAAUCCUGUCUUUCUCAAAAUGAACAUUUGUUAAUCCUAAAAUGUGCUCUCCCUUUAGAAGCUUAUGAAGAUUCUUCAUCCCAACAUGGGCUAGUCGGCGGUGCCAGAGCCAACCCAUGUUAGUCUUAGCAAUUAAGCAUGUGUCGAGCUCAGCUCUAUCAAAAUCUACUAAGUAUAGCUGACCCUCUAACACACCCUUAAAUGCUAUUGAAUCAUCACUUCUUCUAAAGACAGUGACACCUACAUCAGUAAAAAGACAGUUGUAGCCCAUUUGACAUAAUUGUGAAACAGAAAGCAAGUUGUAAUCUAAUGAAUCAACAAGAAAAACAUUAGAAAUGAAAUGGUCAGGUGAAAUAGCAAUUUUACCCAAACCUUUGACCAAACCUUGAUUUCCAUCCCCGAAUGUGAUAGCUCGUUGGGGAUCUUGGUUUUUCUCAUAUGAGGAGAACAUCCUUUUCUCCCCGGUCAUGUGGUUUGUGCACCCGCUGUCGAGUAUCCAACUUGAGCCCCCGGAUGCAUAAACCUACAAAACAAAUUUAGUUCUUGACUUUAGGUACCCAAACGGUUUUGGGUCCUUUGGCAUUAGACACAAGAACUUUGGGUACCCAAACACAAGUCUUGGAACCCUUGUGUUUGCCCCCAACAAAUUUGGCAACGACCUUGCCGGAUUUGUUAGUCAACACAUAAGAAGCAUCAAAAGUUUUAAAUGAAAUAACAUGAUCAUUUGAUGCAUUAGGAGUUUCCUUUCUAGGCAACUUGGCACGGGUUGGUUGCCUAGAGCUAGAUGUCUCACCCCUAUACAUAAAAGCAUGGUUAGGGCCAGAGUGAGACUUCCUAGAAUGAAUUUUCCUAAUUUUGGCCUCGGGAUAACCGGCAGGGUACAAAAUGUAGCCCUCGUUAUCCUGAGGCAUGGGAGCCUUGCCCUUAACAAAGUUAGACAAGUUCUUAGGAGGGGCAUUAAGUUUGACAUUGUCUCCCUUUUGGAAGCCAAUGCCAUCCUUGAUGCCAGGGCGUCUCCCAUUAUAAAGCAUGCUACGAGCAAAUUUAAAUUUCUCAUUUUCUAAGUUGUGCUCGGCAAUUUUAGCAUCUAGUUUUGCUAUAUGAUCAUUUUGUUGUUUAAUUAAAGCCAUAUGAUCAUGAAUAGCAUCAAUAUCAACAUUUCUACAUCUAGUACAAAUAGAUACAUGCUCAACAAUAGAUGUAGAUGGUUUGCAAGAAUUAAGUUCAACAAUCUUAGCAUGAAGAAUAUCAUUUUUAUCUUUAAGAUUGGAAAUUGUAACUUUGCAAACAUCAAAAUCUUUAGCCUUAGCAAUUAAAUUUUCAUUCUCUAAUCUAAGGCUAGCAAGAGAUACAUUCAAUUCAUCAAUCUUAGCAAGCAAGUCAACAUUAUCAUCUCUAAGAUUGGGAAUUGAAAUAUUACAAACAUGUGAAUCAACCUUAGCAUUUAAAAUAGCAUUUUCAUUCCUAAGGUUGUCAAUCAUCUCACGGCAAGUGCUUAGCUCACUAGAUAAUUUUUCACAUUUUUCUAUUUCUAGAGCAUAAGCCUUUUUAACCUUAACAUGUUUCUUGUUUUCUUUAAUUAGACAAUCCUCUUGGGAGUCCAAAAGGUCAUCCUUUUCAUGAAUAGCACUAACUAAUUCAUUUAAUUUUCUUUUUGAGCUAUGUUAAGGUUGGCAAAAAGGGAACGUAAAUUAUCCUCCUCAUCACUAGCAUUAUCAUCACUAGAAGAUUCAUAUUUAGUGGAGGAGUUAGAUUUAACCUUUUUCCGUUUGCCGUCCUUUGCCAUGAGGCACUUGUGGCCGACGUUGGGGAAGAGGAGUCCCUUGGUGACGGCGAUGUUGGCGGCGUCCUCGUCGUCGGAGGAGUCGCUUGAGCUUUCGUCGGAAUCCCAUUCCCGACAAACAUGGGCAUCGCCGCCCUUCUUCUUGUAAUACCUUUUCUUCUCCUUUCUUCUCCCCUUCUUGUCGUCGCCUCGGUCACUGUCACUAGAUAUAGGACAUUUUGCAAUAAAAUGACCGGGCUUACCACACUUGUAGCAAACCUUCUUGGAGCGGGACUUGUAGUCUUUCCCCCUCCUUUGUUUGAGGAUUUGGCGGAAGCUCUUGAUGACGAGCGCCAUCUCCUCAUUGUCAAGCUUGGAGGCGUCGAUUGGUUGUCGACUUGGAGUAGACUCCUCCUUCUUUUCCUCCGUUGCCUUGAAUGCAACGGGUUGGGCUUCGGAUGGGUCGCCAAGCUCGUUGAUUUUCCUCGAGCCUUCUAUCAUGCACUCAAAACUUACAAAAUGCCCGAUAACUUCCUCGGGGGUCAUUUUAGUAUAUCUAGGAUUGCCACGAAUCAAUUGAACUUGAGUGGGAUUGAGAAAAAUUAGAGAUCUUAAAAUAACAUUUACCACUUCGUGGUCGUCCCACUUCUUGCUUCCGAGGUUGCGCACUUGGUUCACCAAAGUCUUGAGCCGGUUGUACAUGUGUUGUGGCUCCUCCCCUUUGUGAAGCCGGAACCGACCGAGCUCCCCCUCGAUCGUUUCCCGCUUGGUGAUCUUGGUGAGCUCAUCUCCCUCGUGCGCAGUUUUGAGCACAUCCCAAAUCUCCUUGGCGCUCUUCAACCCUUGCACUUUGUUAUACUCUUCUCUACUUAAAGAGGCGAGGAGUAUCGUUGUUGCUUGAGAGUUGAAGUGCUCGAUUUGGGCCACCUCAUCCUCAUCAUAGUUCUCAUCCCCUAUAGAUGGUACCUGCGCACCAAACUCAACAACAUCCCAUAUGCUUUUGUGGAGCGAGGUUAGAUGAAAUCGCAUUAAAUCGCUCCACCUAGCGUAAUCUUCACCAUCAAAAGUUGGUGGUUUGCCUAAUGGGACGGAAAGUAAAGGUGUAUGUUUGGAAAUGCGAGGGUAGCGUAGGGGGAUCUUACUAUACUUCUUGCGCUCUUGGCGCUUAGAAGUGACGGAGGGCGCAUCGGAGUCGGAGGUCGAUGUUGAUGAAGUGUCGGUCUCGUAGUAGACCACCUUCCUCAUCCUCUUGUGCUUGUCGCCUUUCCGAUGCGGCUUGUGAGAAGAAGAUUUUUCCUUCUUCUCUUUGUGGUGAGAAGAAGAUUUCUUCUCCUUCCCUUUGUGGGAGGAGCUCUUCUUCUUCUCCCUCCUUUUGGUGCGGGACUCUUCCGAUGAAGUGCUCCCGUGGCUUGUAGUGGGCUUUUCGCCGGUCUCCAUCUCCUUCUUGGCGUGAUCUCCCGACAUCACUUCGAGCGGUUAGGCUCUAAUGAAGCACCGGGCUCUGAUACCAAUUGAUAGUCGCCUAGAGGGGGGGUGAAUAGGGCGAAACUGAAAUUUACAAAUAUAAACACAACUACAAGCCGGGGUUAGCGUUAGUAAUAAGAAACGAGUCCGCAGGAGAGGGCGCAAAACAAAUCCCAAUCGAAUAAGCAAGUGAGACACGGAGAUUUGUUUUACCGAGGUUCGGUUCUUCCAAACCUACUCCCCGUUGAGGAGGCCACAAAGGCCGGGUCUCUUUCAACCCUUCCCUCUCUCAAACGGUCCCUCGGACCGAGUGAGCUUCUCUUCUCAAAUCAAAGCCGGGAACAAAACUUCCCCGCAAGGGCCACCACACAAUUGGUGCCUCUUGCCUUGAUUACAAUGGAGUUGUGUUCUCAAGAACAAGUGAGAAAGAAAAGAAGCAAUCCAAGCGCAAGAGCUCAAAUGAACACGGCAAAUCACUCUCACUAGUCACUAGGGCUUUGUGUGGAAUUGGAGAGGAUUUGAUCUCUUUAGUGUGUCUAGAAUUGAAUGCUAGAGCUCUUGUAGUAGUUGAGAAGUGGAAAACUUGGAUACUAUGAAUGGUGGGGUGGUUGGGGUAUUUAUAGCCCCAACCACCAAACUUGACCGUUGGCUGGAGGCGUCUGCUCGAUGGCGCACCGGACAGUCCGGUGCACACCGGACAGUCCGGUGCCCCUGCCACGUCAUCACUGCCGUUGGAUUCUGACCGUUGGAGCUUCUGACUUGUGGGCCCUCCUGGAUGUCCGGUGCACACCGGACAUGUACUGUUUGAUGUCCGGUGCACCGGUAUGGGCAUGUCUGACGUCUGCGCGCGCUGCGCGCGCAUUAAAUGCACCGCAGGGAGCCGUUGACGCCGAAAAGAGCCGUUGCUCCGCUGGUACACCGGACAGUCCGGUGCACACCGGACAGUCCGGUGAAUUUUAGCGGAGCGGCUGCCACGCGAACCCGAGGCUGGCGAGUUCCGGAGACCGUGCUUCCUUGGAGCACCGGACAUGUCCGGUGCACACCGGACAGUCCGGUGAAUUAUAGCGCGCCGGCUUCCGAGAAAUCCCGAGAGUGAAGAGUUUGAGUCUGAGUCCCCUGGUGCACCGGACAGGUACUGUUUACUGUCCGGUGGCACACCGGACAGUCCGGUGCGCCAGACCAGGGGUGCCCUCGGUUGCCCCUUUGCUCCUUUAUUGAAUCCAAAACUUGGUCUUUUUAUUGGCUGAGGGUGAACCUUUUACACCUGUAUAAUCUACACACUUGGGCAAACUAGUUAGUCCAAUUAUUUGUGUUGGGCAAUUCAACCACCAAAAUUAUUUGAGAACUAGGUGUAAGCCUAAUUCCCUUUCACCCACCUUUCUUUUUCACAAGCACAGGGUUAGCUAACCAUUCGGGAUGGAAUACCUCUUUGAUGAACCCUACGACUAUCAGCUUGUGGAUCUCCUCGCCUAUGGCUCUGCGCUUUUCUUCGUCGAAACGGCGCAGAUGCUGCUUCACGGGUCGGGCACCGGCUCGGAUGUCCAGUGAGUGCUCAGCGACAUCCCUCGGUAUGCCGGGCAUGUCUGAGGGACUCCACGCAAAAACUUCGGCGUUUGCGCGGAGAAAGUCGACGAGCACUGCUUCCUAUUUGGGGUCGAGCUCGGAGCCGAUCCGGACUUGCUUGCAGGCGUCAUUGCUGGGGUCGAGAGGGACGGACUUAACCGCCUCAGCCAGUUCGAAGUUGCCAGCGUGGCGCUUCGCAUCAGGCACCUCCUUGGAGAGGCACUCUAGGUCGGCGAUGAGGGCCUCAGACUCGGCGAGGGCCUCAGCGUACUCCACGCACUCCACGUCGCAUUUGUACGCGUGUCGGUACGUGGAUCCGACGGUGAUGACCCCGUUGGGGCCUAGCGUCUUGAGCUUGAGGUACGUGUAGUUGGGGACGGCCAUGAACAUGGCGUAGCACGGUCUCCCCAGCACCGCAUGGUAGGUCCCUCGGAACCUGACCACCUCAAACGUGAGGGUUUCCCUGCGGAAGUUAGAGGGAGUUCCGAAGCAGACGGGCAAAUCGAGUUGUCCAAGGGGCAGGACGCGCUUUCCGGGGACGAUCCUAUGAAAGGGCGAUGCACCGGCCCGGAUCGUGGAUAGAUCGAUCUCCAAGAGCCCGAGGGUCUCGGCGUAGAUGAUGUUGAGGCUGCUGCCUCCGUCCAUGAGGACCUUGGUGAGCCUGGCGUUACCGAUGACGGGGUCGACAACGAGCGGGUACCUUCCUGGGCUCGGCACGCAGUCGGGGUGGUAGCCUUGGUCGAAGGUGAUGGGCUUGUCGGACCAGUCUAGGUAGACUGGCGCCGCCACCUUUACUGAGCAGACCUCCCGGUGCUCCUGCUUGCGGUGUCGAGCCGAGGCAUUCGCCACUUGCCCACCGUAGAUCAUGAAGCAGUUGUGGACCUAGGUGAACUCCUCUGCCUUGUCGCCCUCCUUCUUGUGGUUGUCUUGGCCUUUGCCAUCUCCCGCUGGGGACCCGACUUUAUGGAAGUAGCGGCGGAGCAUGACGCAUUCCUCAAGGGUGUGCUUGACGGGACCCUGGUGGUAGGGGCAUGACUCCUUGAGCAUCUUGUCGAACAGGUUGGCCCCUCCGGGAGGCUUCCGAGGGUUCCUGUGCUCGGCAGCAGUGACAAGAUCUGCGUCAGCGGCGUUGCGCUUCGCUUGCGACUUCUUCUUGGCCUUCUUCUUCGUGCCACGCUGGGCGGACGCCUCGGGGACAUCUUCCUGCUACCGUCCCUGAGGCUGCUUGUCCUUCCGGAAGAUGGCUUCGACCGCCUCCUGACCAGAGGCGAACUUGGUGGCGAUGUCCAUCAAUUCGCUCGCCUUGGUGGGAGUGUUGCGCCCCAUUUUGCUCACCAGGUCACGGCAAGUGGUGUCGGCGAGGAACGCCCCGAUGACAUCCGAGUCGGUGAUGUUGGGCAGCUCGGUGCGCUGCUUCGAAAACCGUCGGAUGUACUCUCGCAGGGAUUCCCCUGGCUGCUGGCGGCAGCUUCGGAGAUCCCAUGAGUUCCCAGGGCGCACGUACGUGCCCUGGAAAUUUCCAGCGAAGGCCUUGACCAGGUCGUCCCAGUUGGAGAUCUGCGCGGGAGGCAGAUGCUCCAGCCAGGCCCGGGCGGCGUCGGAGAGGAAGAGAGGGAGGUUGCGGAUGAUGAGGUUGUCGUCAUCCGUCCCUCCCAGCUGGCAUGCCAACCGGUAGUCCGCAAGCCACAACUCCGGCCUCGUCUCCCCCGAGUACUUGGUGAUGGUAGUCGGGGCCCAGAACCGAGCCGGGAACGGCGCCCGUCGUAUGGCCCGGCUGAAGGCUCACGGACCUGGUGGUUCGGGCGAGAGACUCCGAUCCUCCUCAUUGUCGUAGCGUCCUCCGCGCCUGGGGUGGUAGCCUCGGCGCACCUUCUCGUCGAGGCAGGCUCGACGGUCGCAGCGGUGGUGCUCGUUGCCGAGGUGAUCCGGGGCUGCAGGCAUCUCGUCCUGUGUGCGCCCGGUGUGGACCGAGGCCUCCCGCAUGAGUCAGGAAGUCGUUGCGCGAUGCCCCGGGGGGCACCCUUGCCUUCGGGAGGCAGAGCUUUCGGCCCGUCGGACCGCGGCAUCCUCCAGGAGAUUCUUGAGUUCUCCCUGGAUACGCCGCCCCUCGGUGGUGGAUGGCUCCGGCAUUGCUCGAAGUAGCACUGCUGCUGCAACUAGAUUCUGGCCGACCCCACUGGAGGCCAGGGGCAGCCUUGCCCUGGCAUCAUCAACGAUACGGCGUUGGACGUCCCGGGCCCGAUGACACGCUUCUCCGGCGAGUGCUCGGUCUGCCCACUCCUGCUCGAUGUUCUGCUGGAGCUGCACAAGUUGCCCUGCUUCCUCAUCGAGUUUGGCCUGCAUCUCGCGGAUUUGCUCAAGCUGUGUGUCCUGACCCCCCACAGGGACUGGGACCACAGCUAGCUCCCGCGGGAUGUCAACGCGAGAAGCAGGCCUAGGGGGAUCGUCACCCUCCGGCAUACCGAGGUGGUUACCUUCGUCGUGACCCCCUAGAUCGACGUGGAAACAAUCGCGACUUGGGCCACAACCCUCGUUGCCAAGGCUAUGGCCAUCAUCAGAGCAACCGGAGAGGAAGUAGUCACAUGCGGUCAUAAAGUCCCGCAUGGCACUGGGAUCACGGAGCCCAGAGAAAUCCCAACCGGAGUCGGGGUCAUCUUCUUCCUCGGAACCCGGGGGCCCGUAGGUUGAGACGGUCGUCAAUCGGUCCCAGGAUGACCACAUAUGGUACCCCGGAAGGUUAGGAUAUGCCUUUACGAAAGCGCUCACUGAAGCGGGGUCGCUUGGCGGAUCGAAGCUGAAUCUAAAAGGCACAGGGUGGAAAACGGACGGUACCUCUUGGUCGAUGGACGGUGGGGAAGUCGCGUCGGGGACGGACUGCACCGUUAUCUCAGGUACGAGGCUAACGCCCAGCAAGUCCUUCGCGAGGGUGCUGGCAUCAUCAGUCCACUUGGGGUUGGCACGUUACGGGGAAACGACAUCCGUCGUUGUCUCAGGUGCGAGGACAACGCCCGACAUGUCCCCCGCUGGGGUGCCGGUGUCGUCGACUCGCUCUGGACCGACAGCCGACGAGGUGCCGCCUCCUUGAGAGCACCUAGAGGGGGGGUGAAUAGGUGAUCCUGUAAAACUUCAAAACUUAAGCCACAAAAACUUGUUAAGGGUUAGCACAAGUAUGGCCAAGUGGCUAGAGAGGAGUCAAAACACAAUAACCACAAGAAAUCAAUCACAGAGAUGACACAGUGGUUAUCCCGUGGUUCGGCCAAGUACAAAAACUUGCCUACUCCACGUUGUGGCGUCCCAACGGACGAGAGUUGCACUCAACUCCUCUCAAGUGAUCCAAUGAUCAACUUGAAUACCACGGUGUUCUUGCUUUUCUUUUCUCAAUCCCGUUUGCGAGGAAUCUCCACAACUUGGAGCCUCUCGCCCUUACAAAAGAUGUUCACAGAGAAUCACGGAGCAAGGGAGGGAAUGAGCAACGCACACAAGACUUCAAAAGAUCAGAGCAACACGCACACAAGCAGCAAUAAGAGCUCGCAACACAACUCAAAGAGUACACAACUCCACAAGAGCUCUAUAUGCUAUCACAAUGAAUCGAAUGCGCUAGAUCAAUGUCUUGGUGCUUAGAAAGGUUGUAGGAAUGCUUGGUGUGCUCCUCCAUGCGCCAAGGGGUCCCUUUUAUAGCCCCAAGGCAGCUAGGAGCCGUUGGGAACAAAUCUGGAAGGCCAUCUUUGCCUUCUGUCUCGUGGCGCACCGGACAGUCCGGUGCACACCGGACACUGUCCGGUGCCUGAUUUGUUUCCUUAAACAGCGCAUCCGACCGUUGCUGUCUGAGUCAGAUCUGCGCACAGUUGGCGCACCGGACAUGUCCGGUGCACACCGGACAGUCCGGUGCUUCCUUCCGACCGUUGGCUCGGCCACGUGUCGCGCCCCGAUCGCGCGGCCGACCAUUGGCCCGGCCGACCGUUGGCUCACCGGACAGUCCGGUGCACACCAGACAGUCCGGUGAAUUUUAGCCAAAGUCGCCGGAGAAAAACCCGAGAGCGGCUGGUUUGCUCUGUGGUGGUCUGGCGCACCGGACACUGUCCGGUGCACACCGGACAGUCCGGUGCCCCAGUCCGAAGCAGCCUUUGGCUAUACACAACCACUCUCCACUUCUUUUCUUUUCUUCUUUCUCCUGUUUCUAACACUUAGACAAGAUGUUAGUACACAAAACUAAUGUACUAAGGCUUAGAAACAUACCUUUACUUGUGAUUUGCACUUUGUUCAUCCAUGAGCAUAUUUUCACAUUUAAGCCCUUGUGUUUGCACUCAAUCACCAAAAUACUUAGAAAUGGCCCAAGGGCACAUUUCCCUUUCAAUCUCCCCCUUUUUGGUGAUUUAUGCCAACACAACAUAAAGCAACUAGAACAAGUGCAAAAUCACUUCAAAUAAAAACUGACUUUGAGUUUUAUUCAAUUUUGACAUAUAUGGAUCAUCCUUUGCCACCACUUGGUUUGUUUUUGCAAAUCAAACUCAAAUCUCUAUCUCUAAGUCAAACACACAUGUUGAAGCAUAAAGAGAGUCAUUCCAAAAGAGAUUGAUCAAAGAUUUCAAAAACUCCCCCUAUUUCCCAUAAUCACCACUUCUCCCCACAAGAAGUCAACUUUUGACAAUAGAGACAAUAAGAGACAAUAAAAGCUUUUGACAAAACAAAAACUCUAUUCUACUAUUUUCAAAAUCUCUCAAGUGGUAGCUGAUCCAUUUAUCACUUUGGCCUUUAUUUUCUCCCCCUUUGGCAUCAAGCACCAAAACGGGAUCAAUCUUGGCCCCGUAACCCCAUUGCCUCACCAAAGUUCUCAAUUAAGAGCAAAUGGCAAUAAGAUUUCAUGAGAUGAACUUGGAAUUAGUUACCCUCUCAUCGGAGUGCAGUGGAAGUCUUUCAUGGUCCAAGUCCACCUUUUCCCUUUCAAUCCUCCUUCGAGACUAAAUUAUCAAACUCAAGCACGUGGUUAGUCUCAAAGGGUCAAGUUGUAACACAUCUCCCCCUAAACAUGUGCAUCACUUUGCAACGGACUUGUGAGGUCCAGGGAGUGUUUGUACAACUUGAGCACCAUAAUAAGCAACAAAAUGCAAAAAGGAACAUGAUCAAAAGCAUAAGUACAUGUAUGCUACAAUUCAAUCCAGGUUCCGCGAAUCUAUAACAUUUAGCUCACUACGCAACCUGCAAAAGGUCUUCUCAUCUAGAGGCUUAGUGAAGAUAUCGGCUAGCUGGUUCUCGGUGCUAACAUGAAACACUUCGAUAUCUCCCUUUUGCUGGUGGUCUCUCAAAAAGUGAUGCCGGAUGUCUAUGUGCUUUGUGCGGCUGUGCUCAACAGGAUUCUCCACCAUGCGGAUAGCACUCUCAUUGUCACAUAGGAGUGGGACUUUGCUCAGAUUGUAGCCAAAGUCCCGGAGGGUUUGCCUCAUCCAAAGUAGUUGCGCGCAACACUGACCUGCGGCAACGUACUCGGCCUCAGCGGUGGAUAGGGCAACAGAUGUUUGUUUCUUAGAGUUCCAUGACACCAGGGACCUUCCUAAGAAUUGGCACGUCCCUGAUGUACUCUUCCUAUCGACCUUACAUCCAGCAUAGUCGGAGUCUGAGUAUCCAACUAAGUCAAAGGUAGACCCCUUUGGAUACCAGAGCCCGAAGCAAGGCGUAGCAACCAAAUAUCUAAGAAUUCGCUUCACCGCCACUAAGUGACACUCCUUAGGAUCGGAUUGAAAUCUAGCACACAUGCAUACGCUAAGCAUAAUAUCCGGUCUACUAGCACAUAAAUAAAGCAAAGAACCUAUCAUUGACUGGUAUGCUUUUUGAUCAACGGACUUACCUCCUUUGUUGAGGUCGGUGUGUCCGUCGGUCCCCAUCGGAGUCUUUGCGGGCUUGGCGUCCUUCAUCCCAAACCGCUUUAGCAGAUCUUGCGUGUACUUCGUUUGGGAGAUGAAGGUGCCGUCCUUGAGUUGCUUCACUUGGAACCCAAGGAAGUAGCUCAACUCGCCCAUCAUCGACAUCUCGAAUUUCUGCGUCAUCACCCUGCUAAACUCUUCACAAGACUUUUGUUUAGUAGAACCAAAUAUUAUGUCAUCGACAUAGAUUUGGCACACAAACAAAUCACCAUCACAUGUCUUUGUAAAAAGAGUUGGAUCGGCCUUCCCAACCUUGAAAGCAUUAGCAAGUAAAAAGUCUCUAAGGCAUUCAUACCAUGCUCUUGGGGCUUGCUUAAGUCCAUAGAGCGCCUUAGAGAGCUUACACACAUGGUCGGGGAACCGUUCAUCCUCGAAGCCAGGGGGUUGCUCCACGUACACUUCCUCCUUGAUUGGCCCGUUGAGGAAAGCGCUCUUCACAUCCAUUUGGUACAACCUGAAAGAAUGGUGAGCGGCAUAUGCUAGCAAGAUACGAAUGGACUCUAGCCUAGCCACAGGAGCGAAAGUCUCCUCAAAGUCCAAACCUGCGACUUGGGCAUAACCUUUUGCCACAAGUCGAGCCUUGUUCCUCGUCACCACCCCGUGCUCGUCCUGUUUGUUGCGGAACACCCACUUGGUUCCCACAACAUUUUGCUUCGGACGAGGCACCAGUGUCCAAACUUCAUUGCGCUUGAAGUUGUUGAGCUCCUCCUGCAUGGCCAACACCCAGUCCGGAUCUAGCAAGGCCUCCUCUACCCUGAAAGGCUCAAUAGAGGAGACAAAAGAGUAAUGCUCACAAAAAUUGACUAAACGAGAUCGAGUAGUUACUCCCUUGCUGAUGUCACCCAGAAUUUGGUCGACGGGAUGAUCCCUUUGAGUCAUCGCUCGAACUUGGGUUGGAGGUGCCGGUUGCGCUUCUUCCUCCAUCACUUGAUCAUCUUGUGCUCCCCCUUGAUCAAGCGCCUCCACUUGAGGUACCUGUUCGUCAUCUUCGGUUGGGGGAUGCACCAUAGUUGAGGAAGAAGGUUGAUCUCGUUCAUCUUGUUCCUGUGGCCGUACUUCUCCAAUCGCCAUGGUUCGUAUAGCGUCCGUCGGAACAUCUUCUUCAUCUACAUCAUCACAAUCAACAACUUGCUCUCUUGGAGAGCCAUUAGUCUCAUCAAAUACAACGUCGCUAGAGACUUCAACCAAACCCGAUGAUUUGUUGAAGACUCUAUACGCCUUUGUAUUUGAGUCAUAACCUAAUAAAAACCCUUCUACAGCUUUGGGAGCAAACUUAGAAUUUCUACCCUUCUUCACUAGAAUGUAGCAUUUACUCCCAAAUACACGAAAGUACGAUACAUUGGGUUUGUUACCGGUUAGUAGCUCAUACGACGUCUUCUUGAGGAGGCGAUGAAGGUAGACCCUGUUGAUGGCGUGGCAAGCAGUGUUAACGGCUUCCGUCCAAAAGCACUCGGGGGUCUUGAACUCUCCUAGCAUCGUCCUCGCCAUAUCGAUGAGUGUCCUGUUCUUCCUCUCUACCACACCAUUUUGCUGUGGUGUGUAGGGAGCGGAGAACUCGUGCUUGAUCCCUUCCUCUUCAAGGAACUCCUCCACUUGAAGGUUCUUGAACUCGGAUCCGUUGUCGCUCCUUAUCUUCUUCACUUUGAGCUCAAACUCAUUUUGAGCUCUCUUGAGGAAGCCUUUGAGAGUCCCUUGGGUUUCAGACUUAUCCUGCAAAAAGAACACCCAAGUGAAGCGGGAAAAGUCAUCAACAAUAACUAGACCAUACUUACUUCCCCCUAUGCUUAGAUAGGCGACGGGUCCGAAGAGAUCCAUAUGCAGCAGCUCCAGAGGUCUUGAAGUGGUCAUCACAUUCUUGCUGUGAUGCGCUCCUCCCACCUGUUUCCCUGCUUGACAAGCUGCACAAGGUCUAUCUUUUUCGAAAUGAACAUUGGUUAGACCUAUCACAUGUUCUCCCUUUAGAAGCUUGUGGAGGUUCUUCAUCCCCACAUGUGCUAAGCGGCGAUGCCACAGCCAGCCCAUGCAAGUCUUAGCCAUUAAGCAUGCAUCUAGACCGGCCUCUUCUUUUGCAAAAUCAACUAAAUAAAGUUUGCCGUCUAAUACACCCUUAAAAGCUAGUGAACCAUCACUUCUUCUAAAGACAGACACAUCUACAUUUGUAAACAGACAGUUAUAUCCCAUAUUGCACAAUUGACUAACAGAUAGUAAAUUAUAUCCUAGUGACUCUACUAAAAACACAUUAGAGAUAGAGUGCUCAUUAGAAAUUGCAAUUUUACCUAACCCUUUUACCUUGCCUUGAUUCCCAUCACCGAAUAUGAUUGAAUCUUGGGAAUCCUUAUUCUUGACGUAGGAGGUGAACAUUUUCUUCUCCCCCGUCAUAUGGUUUGUGCAUCCGCUAUCAAUAAUCCAGCUUGAACCCCCGGAUGCAUAAACCUGCAAGGCAAAUUUAGGCUUGGGUCUUAGGUACCCAACUCAUGUUGGGUCCUACAAGGUUAGCACAUAUAUCCUUAGGGACCCAAAUGCAAGUUUUGUCUCCCUUGCAUUUUGCCCCUAGCUUCCUAGCAACAAUUUUCUUAUCCUUUCUACAAAUUUCAAAGGAAGCAUUCAAAGCACAAUAAAUUGUAGAAGGUUCAUUCACUACUUUCCUAACAACAUUUCUCCUAGGCAUUUGAUGAACAACAUUUCUUCUAAGCCCAUUUCUACCAUGCAUAACAUGAGAACUAGAAGCAGUCAUAGCAUAAGAGUCAUAAGCAUGUGAAUCAAAAACAUCAUGACCUCUAAAAGCAUUUCUAGAAUAUCUCCUAUCAUAGUACAUGAAAGCAUGAUUCUUCUUAACACUAUUAGCCAUAGGAGCCUUCCCUUUCUCCUUGGUGGAGAUGGGAGUCUUAUGGCUUGUUAAGUUCUUGGCUUCCCUCUUGAAGCCAAGCCCAUCCUUAAUUGAGGGAUGUCUUCCUAUUGUGUAAGCAUCCCUUGCAAAUUUUAACUUAUCAAAUUCACUUUUGCUAGUCUUAAGUUGGUCAUUAAGACUAGCCACUUCAUUAUUUAACUUUGCAAUAGAAGCUAUGUGUUCACUACAAGCAUCAAUAUCAAAGUCUUUACAUCUAUUGCAAAUAACAACAUUUUCUACACAAGUUGUUGAUUUACUAGCUAUUUCUAUCUUAGCAUUCAACUCAUCGUUAAUGCACUUUAAUUUUGAAAUUGUCUCAUGGCAUGAAGAUAAUUCACAAGUAAGCAUUUCAUUUCUUUUAACUUCUAGAGCAUGAGAUUUUUGAGCUUCUAAAAAUUUAUCAUGCUCUUCAUACAAUAAAUCCUCUUGUUUCUCUAAGAGUUUAUCCUUCUCAUUCAAUGCAUCAAUUAAUUCAUUAAUUUUGCCAAUCGUAAUUCUAUCUAGACCUUUAAAUAAACUAGAAUAGUGUAUUUCAUCAUCGUCACUAGAAUCAUCACCACUAGAAGAAGCAUAAGUAGAGUUUCGAGUACUUACUUUCUUCUCCUUAGCCAUGAGACACGUGUGACGCUCGUUGGGGAAGAGGGCCGAUUUGUUGAAGGCGGUGGCGGCGAGUCCCUCAUUGUCGGAGUCGGAGGAGGAGCAAUCCGAAUCCCACUCCUUGCCUAUAUGCGCCUCGCCCUUGGCUUUCUUGUAGUGCUUCUUUUUCUCCCUCUUGUUCCCCUUUUCCUGGUCACUUUCAUUAUCAGGACAGUUAGCAAUAAAAUGACCAAGCUUACCGCAUUUGAAGCAUGAUCGCUUCCCCUUGGUCUUAGUCUUGCUCGACUGUCCAUUGCGACCCUUUAGCACCGUCUUGAAUCUCUUGAUAAUGAGGGCCAUUUCCUCAUCAUUAAGACCGGCCGCCUCAAUUUGCGCCACCUUGCUGGGUAGCGCCUCCUUGUUCCUUGUGGCUUUGAGAGCAAAAGGUUGCGGCUCGUUGAUCGGUCCAUUCAAGGCGUCGUCCACAUACCUUGCCUCCUUGAUCAUCAUUCGCCCGCUGACGAAUUUUCCUAGGACUUCUUCGGGCGACAUUUUGGUGUACCUGGGAUUCUCACGAAUAUUAUUCACCAAAUGAGGAUCAAGAACGGUAAAGGACCUGAGCAUUAGUCGGACGACGUCGUGGUCCGUCCAUCGCGUGCUUCCGUAGCUCCUUAUUUUGUUGAUAAGGGUCUUGAGCCGGUUGUAUGUCUGAGUUGGCUCCUCGCCCCUUAUCAUCGCGAACCGUCCAAGCUCGCCUUCCACCAACUCUGUUUUGGUGAGCAAGGUAACGUCAUUCCCUUCAUGAGAGAUCUUGAGGGUGUCCCAGAUCUGCUUGGCGUUAUCCAAGCCGCUCACUUUGUUAUAUUCAUCCCUGCACAAUGAAGCUAGAAGAACAGUGGUAGCUUGUGCAUUCUUAUGGAUUUGCUCAUUAAUGAAUGAAGGGCUAUCCGAGCUAUCAAAUUUCAUUCCACUUUCCACAAUCUCCCAAAUGCUUGGAUGGAGAGAAAAUAGGUGAGUACGCAUUUUGUGACUCCAAAAUCCGUAGUCCUCUCCAUCAAAGUGAGGAGGCUUGCCAAGUGGAAUGGGGAGCAAAUGAGCAUUUGAGCUAUAUGGAAUGCGCGAAUAAUCAAAAGAAAAGUUUGAGUUAACCGUCUUUUGUUUGUCGUGGUCGUCGUCCUUUUGGGAAGAAGAGGACUCAUCGCUGUCGUAGUAGACGAUCUCCUUGAUGCGUCUUGUUUUCUUCUUUUUCCCAUCUUUUCGCUUGUGGCCCGAGCCCGAGUCAUUGGACUUGUCAUCCCUUGGCUCGUUGACAAAGGACUCCUUCUCCUUGUCAUUGAUCACAAUUCCCUUCCCCUUAGGAUCCAUCUCUUCGGGCGGUUAGUCCCUUUCUUGAAGAGAACGGCUCUGAUACCAAUUGAGAGCACCUAGAGGGGGGGGGGGGGGUGAAUAGGUGAUCCUGUAAAACUUCAAAACUUAAGCCACAAAAACUUGUUAAGGGUUAGCACAAGUAUGGCCAAGUGGCUAGAGAGGAGUCAAAACACAAUAACCACAAGAAAUCAAUCACAGAGAUGACACAGUGGUUAUCCCGUGGUUCGGCCAAGUACAAAAACUUGCCUACUCCACGUUGUGGCGUCCCAACGGACGAGAGUUGCACUCAACUCCUCUCAAGUGAUCCAAUGAUCAACUUGAAUACCACGGUGUUCUUGCUUUUCUUUUCUCAAUCCCGUUUGCGAGGAAUCUCCACAACUUGGAGCCUCUCGCCCUUACAAAAGAUGUUCACAGAGAAUCACGGAGCAAGGGAGGGAAUGAGCAACGCACACAAGACUUCAAAAGAUCAGAGCAACACGCACACAAGCAGCAAUAAGAGCUCGCAACACAACUCAAAGAGUACACAACUCCACAAGAGCUCUAUAUGCUAUCACAAUGAAUCGAAUGCGCUAGAUCAAUGUCUUGGUGCUUAGAAAGGUUGUAGGAAUGCUUGGUGUGCUCCUCCAUGCGCCAAGGGGUCCCUUUUAUAGCCCCAAGGCAGCUAGGAGCCGUUGGGAACAAAUCUGGAAGGCCAUCUUUGCCUUCUGUCUCGUGGCGCACCGGACAGUCCGGUGCACACCGGACACUGUCCGGUGCCUGAUUUGUUUCCUUAAACAGCGCAUCCGACCGUUGCUGUCUGAGUCAGAUCUGCGCACAGUUGGCGCACCGGACAUGUCCGGUGCACACCGGACAGUCCGGUGCUUCCUUCCGACCGUUGGCUCGGCCACGUGUCGCGCCCCGAUCGCGCGGCCGACCGUUGGCCCGGCCGACCGUUGGCUCACCGGACAGUCCGGUGCACACCGGACAGUCCGGUGAAUUUUAGCCGAAGUCGCCGGAGAAAAACCCGAGAGCGGCUGGUUUGCUCUGUGGUGGUCUGGCGCACCGGACACUGUCCGGUGCACACCGGACAGUCCGGUGCCCCAGUCCGAAGCAGCCUUUGGCUAUACACAGCCACUCUCCACUUCUUUUCUUUUCUUCUUUCUCCUGUUUCUAACACUUAGACAAGAUGUUAGUACACAAAACUAAUGUACUAAGGCUUAGAAACAUACCUUUACUUGUGAUUUGCACUUUGUUCAUCCAUGAGCAUAUUUUCACAUUUAAGCCCUUGUGUUUGCACUCAAUCACCAAAAUACUUAGAAAUGGCCCAAGGGCACAUUUCCCUUUCACUCCUGCGUGGCCACAGUUGCCCCGUCUCCUCCUCCUGCGGCGAGGAGGGUGGCGGGGUAAACCCGGAUGCCGCUCUUCCGCCACGGGGGAAGACGUCGUCGAGUUCGCCGCCGCCAGGCGAGCUGACAGCCGUCAUUGUUGCUGUCGCGCUGCGGGGGGAGGAGUACCAUGUCGUAGCUGCCGUCGAGGGACAUGAACUCGAGACUCCCGAAGCGGAGCACCGUCCUGGGCUGAAGAGGUUGCUGAAGACUACCCAUCUGGAACUCAACAGGAAAGUGUUCGUUAACACGCAGCAGGCCCCUACCUGCGCGCCAACUGUCGGUGUUUCGGACCCGGGGGGUCCGUAAGCCAACCAGUAAAUUUGUCGCUGCGUGCCCCUGCCCAGAUGGGUUGGCGCAAGAUGGAACACAAGGGGAAACGUGGCUUGUAUUAUCUCGCACCGGGGGUGUGCUCGUAGUAGGGGUUACAAGCGUCGCAGGAGAGAGAGAGAGAGAGAGCCUGUUUGUUUACUCGUUCUCCUCGCGCGACCCCCCCCCCCGCAGGAAGGCCCUGGACCUCCCUUUUAUAGAUGCAAGGAGAGGGUCCAGAUGUACAAUGGGGGUGUAGCUAGGCGCUAACGUGUCUGGCAGAGAAGUGCCUGAGCCCUGUGUACAUGCCAACGUGGCUGUCGGAGAGAUGCUUGAGCCCUGUGUACGCGAUAACGUGGCUGUCGGAGAAGUGCCCGAGCCCUGUGGAGGCACAGCUGGCGGUGCGGCUGGGAUUCUGCUGACGUCUCCUUGCUUCCGUAGGGGGCUGAGAACCACCGACGUCAUGGACGCACGCGGGGAACCAUCAUUACCUAUUACCAGGGCGAGCCAGAUGGGACACCGGUCUUGUUCCCUCGUAGCCUGAGCUAGUUAGGGGUAGAGUAAUGAUGUAUCCCCUGUGGCGCGGUUGGUCUAAGCCCAAGGUCAGGCGAGGCGGAGACUUCUCCUGAGGUCGAGGCCAGGGUCGGGCGAGGACGCGAUUCCUCCCGAGGCCGAGGCUGAGGCCGAGCCCUGGGGUCGGGCGAGGCGGAGACCUCCUCCCGAGGCCGAGGCCUAAGGUCGGGCGAGUUGGAGCUUCCUGUUGCGCCCGAGGCUGAACUCGGCUUGUUGUCAGUCUUACUCCGGUGGGUGGCACAGCAGUCGGAGCGGGGCGAGCGGCGCUGUUUUCCUGUCAGAUCGGUUAGUGGAGGGGUGAAGUGACUGCAGUCACUUCGACCUUGCCGACUGAGGCGCACAUGUCAGGAUAAGGUGCCAGGCUGUCUUCGCAUUGAAUGCGCCUGCGACACGGUCGGUUGGUAAGGCGAUUUGGCCAAGGUUGCUUCUCGACGAAGCCUGUCCGAGCUGGGAUUCGGACGAGCCGAGGGUGCGCCCACCGCCUGAGGAGGCCCUCGGGCAAGGCGUGAAUUAGUCCGGGACUACUGUUCCCGCCCGAGGCCGGGGUCGGGCGAGGCGAGAUUGCGUCCCUUGGUAGACGAGGUCUUGACCUGAACCGUGCCCAUCAGUCUUUGCAGUUUGUGCUGAGGGUGUUUACCAGUCGUGUUUAGGAGUGUUGGGGGUACCCCUAAUUAUGGUACCCGAUAGGAAGUGUGGCUAUUUCAUUUGCUAGCAUGAACAGAACAGAUGGCAUGAGUGGCCUCGCAUAUGGACUGUCUUGCACGCAUAAAAGACCCAAGUGAAUACAUCGUACCGCUGGACAACUCUCCAACAUCGCCUAGAUGACGUAACCAUUUGUCAAUUUAGCCAGAUAACUGCUAUAAUAUUUCUUCUACUGAAAUUAUCAAGCUAAAACUUCUAAUUACCUUGUAAACUUUUCCGAAUCCACCUUUUCCAAGCAUGUUAAAAUCAGAGAAGUUGUUUGUCGAACUAGCGUGUUGAGCUGAACAGCUUAGCGAACGUAUUAGGACCACCUCGGAAGCGCAGACCAAGGUUAGCCAGCUUAUAAUGCUGAGCCUCGUAGAGUUCAGCACGACCUUACUUGAACAGGAUCAGUUCUAUAGGAUCGUACCGUUGCAUCCUUGACUAAUAAGGAGGCAAGCACUUAAGCCUGAUUGAUGAGGCAAUGACCUGUGGGCCAGAGCGUGAUUAACGGCUGGGAUUGGCUCUGUUCGCUGGGUCUUGUGUUAUAGAGGAUGGUUCCUGGCCAGGCCAUGCUUGUCUUGUCUCGAAGUCUGGGUGGCCCAUAGGUUGUCUGACAGGCUCCCUUUUUUCCUGCUUUGGUUUUCAUUUUGCUUUUUACCAGAUUGCAAUCAAAGAAAUUUGAUCAAACUGUUCCUAUCGCAACAGUUGUUUUCUCGCUCAACAUUACUCUCAAUCAAAGAAGGAGCGGAUCUGUUGCUCAAAAUUCUCUCAUAGCAAGAGUGCAAGUCUUGUGCUGCAGUUUGCUUGCUUUAGGUUCCUUCAUCUUUGACUGUACAUGCGAUGCGCAACACAUGUGAUAACUCUUGCUACUUGAUUUGCAGAAGUUCACAGUUAUUUUGAUCUGUCUUUUUUUGUCCCAAGCAAAGCCGAGUUACAUUUAAAAGAAGUAUAUUAGUAAGUAUAUAACAAAAAAGAGAAAAAUCGAGUUCCUAAACAUUGUGAGCGAUGCAGUACGCAAAUCUCAAUAUUUGCCAACUACCAUGCAGUAAGGCUAAGGUACACUGUUUACUUGCUCUUCAGGUCAAGCUCCUCUGAGGCAGCAGAAACAGCUGACCAUCAUGCUGAAUUCGUAGCGGGUUUUUCUCGAACUAGUGGAACUUUGGAAAGGCCUCGUAGUGCUACCCUGCCUCAUUUCCUUGGUAGAUGUGUAUGAGGUCCGUACAACCCCAUGGCAAAUGGGUAAUAUGACUUGUGGGUAAAGAUGUGUAACCUUUAGUGUAAAACUGGUAUAUCAGUCGUGCUCACAGUCAUAAGCGGCUCGGACACUCACAUGAUUAACUUAUGGAAUUAAACUCAAUUUGUCAUUUGCAUUACAUUGUGGGUGUUGUUAUUAAUCCUGAUCUCUUAUAAUUGGGUUGGUAUCUACUUAUAUCUAGUAAUUGCUAAUAAAAUUUUGACCAACUUUAAAAGCAAUGCUCAGCUUUUACCAUCAUCUUUGGUAAUCCUUACACUCAUGAGCUCACACUUUUGGCGAGUUCAUGCACAUUAUUCCCCACAACUUGUUGAGCGAUGAACUUAUGUGAGCUCACUCUUGCUAUACUCACAUCCCCCAAGGUCAAGGACAGGUACCACUGGAUGAAGCGCAUGGAGGAUGCUGUGAUAAGAUCAUGAGAGGUCUAGGCUGUCGUCUCCCAGUCAACUUUAUUUGCUGGAUCGUUGUCUUCAUAUGAUGUAAUUAUUUAACUAUUUUGUACAAACUCUGUUAUAUAUUAAUGUCGUGACAUUAUUUUCUGUACCAUGAGUCAUAAUAUGUGUAAGACUUGGUCCCAGCACACUUGGUGAUUAUCACACGCCCGAGUUUUGGUGCCCCUGAAAUCCGGGUGUGACAACAACCAUUCUUGAGGCCAACCGAAUGUGGACACGUGGCCAUGAUGGGCCCGUUCUCCUUCCUUGGUCACAUGAACGAACGAAGCAGAGGCAGUUUUCUUUUCUUCAACUUGCAGUAUGGGGCGACACAACACAAGGAAGGAGGCGGCACCGGCUGAGCGAACUCGUCGGUGGCCAUGUCUGGUGGCGUGCUGGAGCAGCGCGGGCAGGCCGCGGCAAGCGGCUGCAACAAUAGACGGCGGCGCAACAACGGCGAGACGGGGGCACGGGGCUGGGAAGUGCCGUCGGCCAUCAGGCGGGUGCAACGGCCCUCGCCGGAGGGAUGCGCACGACCAUGCCAGUGGGGCACGGCGGCCGCUGCGCACGUAGGCAGGGGAGGGCACACCGCUACGCGCCAUGGCCGGCUACAGGCGAAGGAAUCACAGAAACAAAGAACGGGAAAGUAGAAUGGAUGAAAAAUGCUCUAUGGAGGACUGGUCGGAGAAGGACUCACCGGCGUCGUGGAGCAACGCGGCGGCACGACGGUGGCAGGGUCAAUGACGUAGAUGAAGAACCAGUGGCGAUCGUGGAGGCUCUGUUGUCGCAGAAGUAUUUUUGAGGGCGGUGGCUUUGGAGUAGCUAGAUUAAGAUUAGAUUUAUCUAUAUCUAGAAUUUUAUAAUUUCAUAUUAAUUCUAUAAAAUUUAGAUUUAGGGUACGGUUCAAAAAAUGCCCUAGGAGCCUUAAAGAAAUUUGGGCAAAUUCCUGCAAGUAUUUUAGAACCACGUGGAAUUUCUUUUUUUUUGUAAAAAAGGAAAAUCCUGGAAAAGAAUACAACAAAACUUACCGCGGACUUCUACAGGAUAUAAUAACAUGUCUCAAACAUACCUUACACUUAGAAACACUAUACAACAACCAAAGUUUCUCUAGGGUUUUAUUUUACUAGGCUUACACAUUGAUAUAAAACAAAAUAAUUCUUCACUAUUUAGGAAAAAGAAAAGCAAGGAAAAGAGAGGGUAACACCUUAAUUUGGUGAAUAUUAGAAAAAAAUUUAUACCCCAAAUUCAGGGUGUUAAAUAUCUGGUCAUUAGCUUUAAUACUGAUAUGACCACCGGAAAUAAUUGAUUUGAUCCAUGCAAUCCAAACACUAAAAAGCCCUUCAACCUAAAAGUGUGUUCCACAAAAGUUCACUUAACCUUAUAGUACGUCUUUUCAAAAAUACAUUUUAAAAAUCACUCCACUAUAUUUCUUCCUAUGUAACUCAUGGAUGGUCUCGUGUAAAACAACGACCCUAGUGACUCUCGAUCAAGAUUCAAGCCACCAAGAAAUAGCCUCCAUUAGCUUCCUUUCUUCCCUUUAUAGCUUAGCAUGGGAGGUCCAAAGCCAUGACGUGAUAGAUAAUUGUCGCCGUGAGCACGAACUGAACCUAAACAACCUGACCAACCCUAGUGGUAAGAUCAACCUUCCAGCCAGGAAGGAGGUCUGCCAACCGGUUAAUUAGGGGAAGUAGUUGGUCCUUCGUGAGCUUCUUGGGCAGAUCCAAAUAAUUGACAGGAAACUCAACUGGACGGCAGGGUAGGAUAGAUGGUCUAAACAAGAGGCAAGUCUUCUUGAGAGCAUUGAAUAGGAGAGACGCUGCUCUUCUGGAUAUUUUUUUUAACAAAAAGGGGUUUCCACCAUUAAGAAAUAGGAAACGAGUUUCAUACAUGACCAACAUAUAUCCACCAAAAAACUACGACUUAGAAGACUGUCAACCGAAGAAAGCAAGCGGAAUUAAUCCUAAACAGAAAAACCAUUCUAAAAAGGAAAAUACACCCAACCACUCAUGGUCAAUUCUAGCUAAGUCAGACUUUAUUACAUGGGGAAGAUCACACCCCAGCGGGUUACAGCUAACCUCGCUACAAACUGUUUAAACCAGGGAGAAUUUAAACCAGAACAACACCAGAUAGUGCCACAAAGACGUCACCAUUCUCCAUCCAAGUUUUUUGUUGAAAAAAUCUUUAACCGGUCACAGGUGUCCUUCCUUCCAUCUUUGUAUGGAUCAGAGCCCAAUCAUUCAUACAAAAGUAGCACAUGAAGAAAAUAGCAUCAGUGUAAACUGUAUUUUUACCAUUAAAACAAACACCAUUUCUAACCCUCUAGAGGGUCCAAAGGAUCGCACUGCAGCCCACCACGAUAAGAUUUCUGCUUUUAUUUUUAAAUUUAUAGAUCCAUUCUCCAAACAUAUUUUCAGCAGUUUUUGACAUUAUGUGCAUGUUCUUCACCAUACUAAUCACCCUCCAAGUGAAAGAUGUGAUCCGGCAAUCGAAAAAAAUGUGUUUCGUAGUUUCCAUACAACCACACCAAAAAUAGUUAAAGUUUUCUUUCCAGUUUCGGUUUUUUAGGUUUUGUUUUGAUAAGACUCUAUUCUUUAUGACAAACCACAAGAACACUUUUAUUCUUUGGGGGUAUUCGAGCCUUCCAAAUGAACCAGAAAGGAACCUUAUCCAAAGAGCUACACUUGAGAUAAAGUGAUUUAACAGAAAAUCUUUUUUUAUUAAUAGUCCAUAUAGCUUUAUCUCUUGAAUCAUCAAGAUUAAUGUCAUUUCAUAUGUUUUUCAAUUCCUCCAAUAACUGAGUACUUUCUCCAUGUAAUCUUCUUCUAAAUAUUAGAGAAUCACAACAAAAGCUUCUGCUGGGGAUUGAAUAGCAAAUUAGCUAGAUAAAUGUGCCUAAUGCCAACAUGCAACUACUACUUUUAUUCUUGACUCGCUUCAGUUUAUAUACGAACAUCUAGAUUUUUUUUCUGAAAUUAAGUAACAUUAAUACUUACAUGAACUGAACCAAAACCCUAGUGUUUGUUCCAAAAAUAUAGGAAUAAGGAUGAAACCACUAUUUGGGUGACCUUGCUCAUAGCGUAAGUACGUUCCUCAUUCAUUGUAAAGGUGAAAUUUUGAAACAAUCAUAAUUGAACAUCAAAAAACUUACUGCUUGGAGAAGAUCUACUCUUGUUCAUCGUUAGUUCCUUGUAGUUGACAAAUGAAUAGUUUGACACAUUAGCAAAAACAUUAUUUCUUAAAGGAGCAGCAGAGAAUGAAAUGACAUUUGAGACUGACUGUUACCUCUAGACCAUGGCAGAAGUGCCUGUGCAGUUUAAGAUCAUCUUCUUUGCGCACUCGAACUUCGCACCCGUUAUAGUUGCAUUUAAUGCCUUGUAUUUCAUGUUGUUUAUGGCAGUGCAAGAUUAUCUGCACACAAUUUUAAAUUAGACAUGCACCAUCGAUAGUAAAUACGAAUAUAUUUGAUAGUUACAACUUUACCUCUCGUAUAGGGACUUUGCUAUUUUGAUGGAGCUGCCGUUCAAAAAAGCACAUAUGACAGAUAAUAGAUUUGAUGUUCAGCUGACUACUCAGUGUGACAUAUGUGCUAUACUGGGAUUGCACAUCAAUUGGAACGCCGUCCUAGAAUGAAAAAGAAAAAGAUAGCAUAAAUAGUGGCGGAUGACAGAAAAAAAUUAAGGUAUGGCAAAAAUUGAUAGCAUAGAUAACAAAACACUAUUUGAAAUCAUAGUCACAAGAAACGGACGACCUUCGACCCGAGAACGUCGUCUCCAAUACGAGUAUACGGAGUCAUUUUCGUUACCACUAUAUAAAAAUCUCUUACAGAUAGUGUACACCGACACGUCCUAGGGGACUUUGUGAUUAUAUUUAAAAUUAAUGUCUGUCUAAUUAUUUUAUAUCAAAUUUUAUCAACUGCAAGUUUGCAACAGAUACCUAUACUAGUUUUGACAUUGUUCUUGCAUUUGUUUGUUUCUUUUGGUUCCAUUUUUUAUUGUUAUUGAUAAUCUUCAGAAGUUUAUUGUGCUUUAAAAACAAUCAUCCAAUUAAUUGCUAACUAAUAAAUUGAACACUCAGUAACGGAAAAAAAAAAGACUUCCGGUUCCCUAGUAGGCCAGGGUUUUACCGUUCUUACAUUAUAGGAUUAAGAAGUCAAGAACUGCUGAAAUGGCAAGACACGGGUUGCAAAACUCUAGAAAAAUUGUAAGCUGACGAGCGGAGGAUUGCAGGAGCCAGAAAGACAGCAGCAUACGAGCAAUAAGCAGCAGCCUGCAGGUGGCUAGUACUGGCACAUAGCAGUUCUCGCUUGAUAUAUGUUUCAUGAUCACGAAUAAAAAGCGUCGCAAAUAUACGUAACGAACGAUUGCGUCAAAUCUAAGGAUUGGGCCAGGAAACUGCGUACCGUCCCCGCGGUGGCAGUAUGACUGCCCUCAGCCUCAUCCGUCAUCGGGUUGGUUGGCCCCGGAGCCGGAGGUGAUCGGUGCCGGUGCGGGUCCAGGCGCUCUGGUUUGAUUGCAUAGUAAUUAUUGGGAUUACGCCCACGACCACGAGAUUGAAGGACUCCUGAUCCUGGUGCGCGCUGCUGGUCUGCAGCUUCAUCCGUGAUGGGUAUGGGACCUAUGGGUCGUGGCUCGCCAUGAAGAAGACGUUGCCGCAACAUCUCCAUGAUGUACCGCACAGGUACCAUUAUCCCUGAACAAAGGCGCGCCACCGUGUCUGCUCCGACUCGAACAAGCCAUUGGAGGCAUCCAUCUUCCGGAAGCUGUCGGGGGAGCCUGUUCUUUCUCCUCGCCAUGGAGUCGGUUAGCAGCGUUUGCGUUUGACGAGCAAGAAAUGGCUGCGGUGGGAGCUAGGGAGUCGAGGAAAGAAGCGGAGGAUGGCAGAGAUUGGGGUUCUUGGAGAUUGGGGUUGUUCUUGGUGGCGGAGAGGGAGGGAGGUGGAGGAUGGCUGUGGCUGCGCGAUGGUAUUCAGCAGCAGAAGGGAGACGGGAGACGAAGAGGCACAACAUUCAACACUUAUAACGAAGCACAGGCGCGUUUCCUUGUUUCUUCUUUUAUAUACAGAGCGGCCGAGCGGGACCGGGGAGCAAUCAGCCCAUCCACGGGAACGGGAGACGCAGCCGCCUCUCUCUUCCUCCUAUCUCUCUUCCUCCUAUCCUAUCCACGGGAACCGGAGACGCAGCCGCCUCUCUCUUCCUCCUAUCCGAUCCCUCCUCCCAAACGCAGCCUCCGUCUGCCCACCACUCCCUCCUCCGCUGCGCCGCAGGCCGCAGCAGCACCAAUAGGUCACCACACGCGCCUGGAGUUGGACGACGCGACUGAGGCGCAGCAGUUCGACCGGGAUGGCGGGAUGCGCUCAGCGAAAUCUACGAGGUAGCGUAGCACGCGAGUCUUCAGGCGAGGGGAAAAACCCCCCGCCCCGCCCCCGCGUUGGUCCUAGGCCACGACAACUUCGCCCCCACAUCCAAUCUCGGUGCCUGAUGCCUUGAGGCAAGCAGGGGGACCGGGACCGGACCCCAUGGCGGCGGUGGCGGCGGUGCUCGACUCCUUCAUCAAGCGAUGCACGGCGUCAAAGGAGGACUUCGGCGGCCAGCCCAGCCAGAAGGCCUGCUUCCUUCUCGGCAUCGGGUUCGAGUUCGACAUCAGGGGCCUCCUGGCCACACACCAAUCACCUCAUCCCUAACAACGCCGCCGGACUUACCUACGCGGCGCGCGACUACGGCGGCAGCGACCCGUUUGAGGGGUUUCGCGACGCGGUGCUGGGGCCGAUAACUCAGAGAAUUCGGAAGAAGGAAGGAGAGUUCAGAGGAAGAAAGGACGAAGGAGACGAGGAAUAGUAUUUCUGCCAAAACAUUCGGUAAGUCUUUUUCUCCCUCUUCCUCCUAAACUGCCCUUUGGCAUUUGAAAAAGUGCUCGUUCAAGAAAUGAGACUGCUACCGGCCUGAGAACCCACUUUGCAUUCUGAUGCUUUUCUGAGUUACUUUGCCGCUUUUACUGGUUUGGCGUUUAGGUGUUUUUUGUCUCCUAGAAGAAGUCUAUGCUGCAGCGUUUCUGCGUGUACUCGGCCAGCAACUGGCCGUCGAGUCCGACGGCCACCUCGCAGCCGACGUGGAGCGGGUGCCAGUGCCGGUUGCCCCAGAACGCCAGGCGCGCGCGGAUCCUGGACCGCACCUUCACCGUCAGCUCCACCCUGCUGCCGGCCUCCACUGCGUCCCGCGCCAUGUCCCCGCUGGCCGCCGACGCCGCCACGCCCUGGAACGCCAGGGCCGACGUCGUCUUGGGUGGCUGGUACAGCGGCGCGGCCGUCAGGGCCUGGCCCUUCACCACGUCGGCGCCGCGGUACUCCACCGAGAGGUAGAACCGGUCGUAGAAGAAGGCGAUGUCCCGGUUCGGGUUGCGGAUGGAGAGCUGCCCCGACAGCAACUCUCUCGAGGCAUGCGGCCAGCAGAUGAACGCUUCUGCAGACACACAUCACGUCACUACGCACGCGAUCGAUGCUAUAUCUCGUUCUUCCUUGACGAUCACAGAACCAGCCGGUUGAUGCAGCAUCUUUGUCAGCCGCAGGAAAAGCCUCUGAAACCGCUGAUCGCUGCCUGCCCUCGGUCGCUUACCGUGCUCGCCUGCUUUCCGUCUCCUUGUGUUCUCAGCGGGACGACGUCGUGCGCGGCCCGGCGUCGAUCGCCAAUGGCGUGCAAGGUGAAAGGGAUCUUCAAGGGCCUCAAGGCCUUCUCCCGGAUCUUCGGUAAGCGGGCAUUUUGUUUCUCUUUCCCGCCUGAAAUCCUCAAACUCCGGACAUGGACGCACUGUCUGUUUUCCUCCAUGGGUCGUCGCCGGUCCUUGCAGCGGUGAAGGAGCACGAGAUGGAGAUCGGUUGUCCGACUGACGUGAAGCACGUCGCGCACAUCGGCUGGGACAGCGCGGCGGGCGGCGCGUCUCCGAGCUGGGUAAACGGACACCAGAAAUUCAGGGCACUGCCGCUGCGACUUCCUUCAAAUGUCUGGAUUCUGAUCGGUACAGUUUUUGAUUUGGUUCUGGGUCUUGUAUAUCUUUGCAGAUGAACGACAUCAUGGCGUCCUCAGACUUGUCGUCCCUGGGCAACUUCGCAGCGCUCACUGGUACCUCCUGGGUUUCUCAAGGUACAGUGACCAUUUCCUCAUGCUCUCCGGUUCAGAAUGCAUCGCUUUGUUUUGCUAUAGUUCAGUUCAGCAGCUACUUCCGUAUGACUGCUGUGUUGCACAUUUCUUAGCAAAGGUUUUUGGUUCUUCGUGUGAUCUCAUGCAUGUCACGGAGUUUUGCUUUGUCCAUUCCUCUGUUAGUUCUUGUACCCGCAACACAACACACGCACUGGCUUCAGGUUUCUGAAGCCUGAGAUACCAGCAGCAUCUCUGAACUCUGAAUCGCUGUUGGUAUGCCACCGGGUCUCGUGCUUCACACAAAUGGCGACCAAUUUUUUUUUUCGAAUACGCAGGAGAGCUGCGUAUCAUUGAAUUAAAAUAGAGGAAAAACGGCCUGAGGCCCAGGACAAACAGAACACACACAAAACAAAAACACACACUCACACCCACAAAACAAACACAAUACAGACACAUACAACCUACUAACACCCCAGUCUUUCAAUAGGCUUCAAGACUCUCCUUUAUCCAGGGUUGAAAAGAGAACUCGGUUUGGACCAAAAUUAAAGAACUCGAUCACGCAAACAGUGUGAGAAACUUGUCCCAGACAUAUCUCGGUUUGGUCCUUGCUUCAUGAUACGGUAACACCGGCAGAGGCGAAACUGAAGCUUCGUGUGAUGGGGACACGACACGAUCAGUUGGUGUCGUUCGUGCUGUGCUUGUUGCCUGGAGGCCCUGGACAGAGCGAGUGGUGUCGGCGUGCGUGUGGUUGGUUGGUGUACCUGGCGACAGCCGCUGCCCGCGGCCGGGCAGUCGGCAGACAUCCUCCUCAGAUCCGGAUCACGUUGUGUUGCCGUUCUUCGUUCCAAGAUCACGCACUUGAUGUUGCUUUCCAGGAUUCUUAGGAAGGAUCACGUGCCGCGUUCUUGCCUUCUUGGUUCUUGCCAUGCGCGGCUGACACGCGUUCUGUGGCGGAUUCUGUAUGUCUGACAGAUCUCGACAGCCAGCAGCGUGUCGUCGCGGAGAACACCGGCAGGCGAGACCACUCGGCCAGGUGCCCCGAUAUUACAAGGCCGCCGAGGAAUCCCGGGACGAAGAAGCCGAGGGACGGCUCGCCGCCGGCGUCGCCACCGUCACCGGCGGCUCGUGUCGACGCUGCUGCAGAUGACGCGCGAUAAUCUGAACUGUGUUGCUCCGGCCUCCCUCCAUUCCGAGUUUGUGUACGCGAGCGCGAGGCUACAAAGAGUCAAAGAUUGCUUGUUUGGUCGUCGUCUGAUCGCCCCCAGCUUUGGCGUCAAAGUAUGUACUAUGUGUUUAUGUUAUAUAUAUAUAUAUAUAUAUAUAUAUAUAUAUAUAUAUAUAUAUACUACUUAUUAAGACUCUAAGGGGUAGGCUGCCCCAUUCCUGGUUCUGCCAUUCCCAUUCCCAUGCGCCCUAUGUGUUUUCAUUCCCAUUCCCAUGCGCCUGUGUGUUUUCAUUUCCAUUCCCAUGCGCUCUGUGUGUUUGUGUUUUCAUUCCCAUUCCCAACUGUGUCCCGCCAUGUGACCCGUUUCCCAUUCCCAAUUGUGCCCCGUGCACCGCGACCAAAUUUUUACCAAAAAAAGCUAGCUGCGUGGGUUAAAGUUCACAGCCAACCAAGGCUUCACAUGUUGUAGUGCGCACUAGACCUUAUAAACAAGUGUGUGCACAGUUUAGUGAACAAUGUGGUACUAUUUUUUGUUUGCCAAUACGAAUUACACUUUUCCUAGAAGGCCCAUCUGCUUGUGGCCCAGAGAAGCCCACAGUGCUCAGCGCGACAGCGGCCUCCCCACCCCGCGCGUCGUCGCCUCCGCUCCACCUGCGCGCGCUGUGUCCAUCAGCCCACCCCGCGCGCCGUCGCCUCCGCUCCACCUGCGUGCGCCGUCAUCGCCAGGGCUCCCCACCCCCGCGCGCCACGACCUCCACAGCUGCACCAGCUCUCCCUGCAAUCCCCCACGAUCUCCCUUCCAACUGCUCCACUCCCUCCCGUUCGCCCCUUCCACCUAGCUCCCUCUCCUCCCUCCCACCAACGGCGCAUGGAUGACCGCCGUGGCCCUGCCCUUGAUCUCGUGUUCGCCAGCGCGUGAGCCCAGCCCCCGCCGAUCCAAGUGAUUCCACGCACCGCCCUGUAACCCCUGCCUCGUGUUGCCCCUCUCUUCCUCCCCUGAGCUCUGAGCUCCAACCCCCGAGAUAGCCACCGCCUAUCCUCGACGCCCCCGACCUCCGCGCCAGUCAAUCAGGUCGUAGAGUGACAGCGGCAGCAACACCACGCCCACGUGGCUGCUGGAGCCAGAGCCCCCGAUGGAUCUCCCGUCACUCUCCUGCUCUUCGCGACCGUCCGAUCCGUUGAUGCCGCCACCGUCCGCGCGCUCCUGACCGACGCUGAGGCAUCGGGCACCUCCCUGGGCACGCUCGCGGCUGCACAAAUGGACGUCGGGGAGACCGCGCUAUACGUCGCCACGGAGGCCAGCUGCGAGGAGGCCGUGAGCCUCCUUCUCCUGCUCUACGACCUUGAGACUGCCACCGUCUGCUCACGCCACAAUCUCGACGCCUUACAUGUCGCCGCCAAGCAAGGGCACACCGGUGAGCUCCCCUUCGGACCCCUUCUGUUAGUGUUGUGGGAGCGGAUUGAAGUCCUGCUUCCUGGUUACUGUGAACUGGGAAUUAUAUAUAGUUAACCAACCUCAUUUGUGGCCUGCUUUUAUGGAUGGGACUGCUAGACUAGGUAGAACUCUUUGUUGUCUUCAGGUGAUAUGCUUGCCUUUUGGCAUCAUUCCGCUGGUCUUAGGCUGGAAUUUGUUUGGCAUAUGGAGCUUUGACGCUCAAUCUAUUGGCAGUCACUGGGCGGGCUGUAGGUGAAAUUUUUUUAGUUUGAAGCUUAAGUUGACAAAGGGGAAAUAGAAACAGUUGUGGGCGAUCCCCAACCUAUUCACAGAGUGACAGUUAAACUAUUUCUGGGUAAUUUAAGUUGAUUCACCUUCAAAAGAUGUCGCCAAUCAAUAGAUAUCGUCAAGGCACUGAAGAAACGAAUUGGCCACAAGAAUCCAAAAGUUCACCUUCUUGCACUAAUUGUAAGUCUGUCUGUGAUUAUGUGCUAUCGGGACAUAAAGUAGUUGUAUUUCUUCAGGUGAUCCGUUCAUCUUUGAGACGCAGCGCCACAAUGGCAUAAGGGAGCUUUGCCCUGCGAAUGGAGGAGCACAAGCUAAUCCAUGCCCGUGCUCUCACCCCCCUGCAUAAACCCAAAUCUGUUGUGGUCAACCAUCAAGAGCUGUCCUAUUGUAUUAUUCAGUUCAUUGAAAAGGACUACAAAUUAGCAGAUACUAUGAUUUGGGGUCUACAAGUAUUGGCCAGUCAGAAACUGCCAAGAGGUAUUGAAAUAACUUGAGCAGACAUGUUUUAGAUGUGGCCUUAUACUAUAUUUAUAACUAGAUGUGGCCCAAUCUGAAGUCAUUUAAUAGUAGUAUUUGAUUUUAAUGGUCUGAACAAGCCGAAAUGUGAUUUUGGAGAUCCUUGAAGAAACAUGAAUUAUUCUGUAUCUUAUGAGAUCAUGUCUCAUGAUCACUUACAUAAUGUUUGUUUAGUUAUCACUUCUCACCUUUUCAUCCUUAACAGGUUCUUUGCCAUCAAUGGUUGACCGAACCAGUGAGGGGGCCUCUUCCCUGAUAUACAAAUUUCUAGAAAUGAAUAACAUCAUUUUUCCAUUACGCACAUAAGUUCAAAUUGUAUUAAUAUGAAAAAAAUGGUUAUUAAAAAAUCUCUACUACUCUAUAUGUUAGCAGUGUAGGCGUCCACACUGCUGCAUUCUGCCACCCGCAGCCGCCCCGCCCCGACGACCUCUUUGAUAAGGCUAUGAACUCCUUCAAACUCGCCAAGAACCGUGAGUGCUCCUAGCUGCCCAGAUCCCCCUUGCCUCCCCAUUUAUUCUGAUGAUUAUCUUGUUCUAAUGAUUAUCGUAAUCACCUCUUAUUCUGAUGAUUAUUUUAUGUUUGAUUGCCUGGUAAAUUUCGUUGAUUAUCUUCCACAUACCGAUUUGCUUGUCUGAACUGACUGCUAUAUAGAUUCUCUGCUCGUCGGUUUUUGACCCUCCUGAUAAAUACAUUCCGUUGAUAGUUCCUGCCUACAAUGAGAAGCAUCGACUCUCCGAGGCUCUUACAGAAACAGUUAAGUAUGGCAUUUGCUACUCAUGUUGUUCAAUUCUGCAUUACUUUGAACUGUGCAUUACAAUCUAUACUCGUGAUUUUCCUUACCAGAUAGUGUUAAUAAUUGUAUACAUUGCUUUGUUGUUUUCUCUCUUCAAUGGCUACUUGAAGCAGGGAUCAACUGCUGACAAUUCCUUUUCUUACGAGGUAUGUGGAAAUCUAGCAUGUUAUUUGUAAUUUACAAUCCCUGUUGCAGCUUGCGGUCAAAUUGUUUCUCUUACCUAUGCCUCUGCCCAUUAAUCUAUCCGUUUUUCCUUAACUUUUGCGGUUGGCUUGUUCCUACAUUGCUCAUAGGAGAUGAAAACAUAUUUUAUUCAUUUUAAAUUUGGGUUUUAGUUCAUAAUAUUGGAGUACGGGGACUAUCUCGUUAUUAGAUUAUGAAGGCAAGCGCCUCUCUUUUAGUGUAGAUUAAUGGCAGGAUAGUGACUAUUUUGUUGUUAGAAAAAGCGAUCUGGUGGCAGUUUACAAACUCUAUUGUUAGGCUCAGAUUUGCUAUUCGAUAACUAAUCUAAUGUGUAUCUGUCUAAUGAAAAUUUCUAUAUUUUAUAUAAGAAAAUAUUCAAGCUGCAAUAGAGUUUGAAGGUACUGCUGUGCAGUGGUCUUUUUUUCUUAUUAUUGUAAAACACAUUUGUCACUUAAAUGUUGCAGGGAUGAUUCAGCGCAUUUACCUGUUCUUUGGGAUUCUCUUCACCAUGUUUUAUUGAGACAAAACUUCCAUGUUUGAUUGGGUGGCUAAGAAAUCUGUAUCCUUGUUUGGUCUUAUUAUUCAUGCGAAUAUUGUGUUAUGUGUAGCCAGGUAGGGUCAUAUUAGUGUGUUUUGUUUCCAGCAAUGGCUGAGUAGGUUCAGCUUAAUGUUAUUCUAAGUAUGUCUCUGUAUUUUUGGUGUUAUAGGUGUACUUAACAAAUGAAACAAUAAAGAUGAUGACAUUAAUGAAAGGUUUGAUUAGUAAGUAAUGUAUUACUAUUUUUCUUUGUUGAAUUCGAUACUCUAUUUACUGUUUGCCAAGCAGCCCACAUCUUUUUUAUAUCUGCUUGUUGCUUAUGCCUAUAUUGAGGGGCUGUUUGGUUACAUGGAACGAAACUUUAGUGCCUCUCUUUUAGUCCCUAAAUUAUUAAAUAUGAGGACUAAAAGGGAAUAAAUCAGAUUUCCUCCCCUCUCUUUAGUCCUUUUUUUGGUAAUUUAGGGACUAAAAAAGAUGAACUAAAGUAUAGUCUCAUGGAACCAAACAUGUCAUGAGGAGAUAGGACAAUUAAUUUCUCUCUUAAUGGAUUUUCUUUAUUAUUGCUACCUAUUAAGACCAUGUUUGUGAUAGCUUUAGCUACAGGAAAUUUGGUAGAGUUAGUGUAACAGGUCAUUAGGUGCUCAAAAAAAACAUGGAGUUGGAGCUAUAAGUCUUUAGAAGACAUUUAGAUAAGUCAUAUCGUUUAUAAUUUAGACUAAAAAUAUUUUUAAAACUAUUUAAAUUGAUAUUAUAAACUAAAACUACAGCUUCACGCUGGAGUUAGAGCCAUCCCAAACACUCCCUAAAAACAUAUCCUGCACUCCAGCUGCCUAUAAUGAAUUCGAUACUUUGUAUUUACUUAUUGCCUUUUUAGGUCUGCUUAUACUGAUCUGACUAUAGGAGAAUUAAUUUCUUUCAUAAUGAUCUGCCUUCCUUGUGAUUUCUAUUGAUGCAUUCCAAAUCUGACAAAUCAUGGCUGCAGUUAUAUGCCCCUGUCACAAAAUGGAUUAGGGUUGUGAUUGAGGUUUUUAUCUACUGUACCAUUUUUAAAAUAGAAGAUGAACUUAUGUACUCUUCUCAAAACUCAAAGGCAUAGUGAAAACAAACAACCUUUUUAACUAACCAUUGCUAGAAAAUCUAUACUACUUAUUAAGAAGGUAAAGGUAGUCUGCCUCCCCUCGUUCUGCCACUCCCUCGUUCUGCCUUCUCUGACCGACCGUGGGCCUCCUAUGUCAGCGCGCGUCUCUUCUAUGUCUCCUUCACGCGACGCAGGCACGCAACAACUGCUCCCUCUCCGGUCUCCGCACCCUCCGUCCAUUCCUUCCACACCCAUGGUAAUGUACCAAACCCCACUCCGUUCCUCACCCGCGGCAUCGUCGCCACCGAGGCCGUCGGCGGCUUAGCCAAAGACCGUUGCGGCCCCGACUCCGCCGUAGCCCACCACCCGGCAACCGCUGUGACCUACACGAACCAAACCCGCCGCCGCGGCAUAGCGCACCACACCAGGCUCCUCGAUGGUAUAGACUCGAGAGCCCAACCCGACCUGAGCCGAUCUGAAAGGAGGGUUGUCAUCUGGCCUCCCCUGGUUCCGGCGCCCAUGGUGGUGGCAGCACCUGUCCAGCUAAACCUCGACGAGGUCUGUCAUGGGACCACCGCAGCGCCUACUGCUUUGAGAAAGCAGAUCGACGAGGGCACCUACGGGUAGCACCCCCUCCCAUCCAUCCUCCCUAAUCGAUCUGGUGAUUACUCUACCUGUCUACUCUCCUAAUCCACCGAUUCGCUUCAUUACUUGGCCACCGCCGGCAGUGAAGUGUACAUGGCGAAGGAGACAGACUGGAUCUGCAUGAUGUUACAUGAGCAUGAGGGUUGUGGACUUGAAUUCCACAAAUUAUACACACAUGAAAAAACUGCUAGGGAUUAAGUGUGACUGCGUGAUGAUGUCUGACGCUCCUGUUCAGCAGGUAAGGUAGCCAUCAUGCUUUUAUAGUUGUAUAUUUGGAUUUUCUUUUGCAUAAAAAAAACCGUACCACCUAUCAAUAUCACCCUAGAAGAUGGCAGAUUUCAUAUGAACAGUGGUGGAACAGUGGUGGAAGAGCUGUCGAUCAGCCACUGCAUCAACACAUCAUAUUGUGCUGGGCUGCUCCUCCGCGGUGUACGAUAGGGACAAGACCGCCUCUUCCCCCUCCCCGCGCUUUUGCUGAUCGGCCUUCAGUUUCUCAAGGUGAGUUUAGUCAAAACUUUCUUCAAUAUGCUUUUGCUUAUCGACAUGUAUAUUGUGCUGGAUUAUCGACCUGUCCAGCAACAGCAUCUCAGGAGCUAUACCCGCAGCCCUCGGGAACGCCAAGUCCCUGAAGUUCCUGUGAGUCCGGGAAUACAAUGGUUAGUUUCGUCAGUUGCCAUUGGUUCCAUUCUUGCGUGAACGUUUCUUCAACUCUGUCGGCAGGCGUUUGGAUCACAAUCGCCUGACGGGGCCGAUCCCAAGGGAGCUUGCUGGGCUGCCCAAUCUUGGAAUUGUGUGAGUACUAUCUACGUGAGAUGUGCGGCUGCAUUUUGCUCUUUACGACGAUUGUAGCAGUUGCGGCGAACCCAGUUCAGCCAUGCCUUAACAUUCUUCUUCUUCUUUUGUGCUUCUGCAGAGAUUUCUCCAACAAUGACCUUUGUGGCGCGAUCCCGACAGACGGAGCAUUCCAGAACAUUCCCCGUAGCAGGUAGUCCGAGCUUCCUCCAUGAGUUCAUGAUGUUCAGAGUCCUCCCAUGCAACAUACAACAAGUAUUCAGGUAGCCAUAGCUGAUGUCUCGCCUCAGAAGAUCCUAUCAAAAUUCCAGUAAACAUAUAAUCAGAAUAAAUCUGCCCUACCACUGAAAUUGACCCAAGUAUUCAGGUAGCAGUGUGGCAGGAAGCAAUACAACAGUAAUCCAUCCAGAGAGUGUUGCAUGCAUAGAGCCUUUAAUUUCUCUUAUAUUAUAGGUUAAUUUCUAUAGGAUAAAAAACAUACAAAAGCAUUUUAAAAUAUGAAUCUAUAGAUAUAACUUCUGUACACUAGACAAGCAUAUAAUUUGACAUAGUUGUUGGUCAAACCUUAUGAAGGGAUUAUGUUCAGAUAAAAAUACACUUUAUAAAGGUGGACGGAGGGAUCAUGUGAACCUGCACAUGUAGUUCUGCACUUGAUGGAAUCAUGAAAAGCAAAAGGAAUUAAAAAUAGAACGAGAGAAAGGGACAAAAUAUAUAAAAAGGAUAAGGCUAUGUAAAACAUAUGUAACAAAAGAAACCAGGAUAUAAUCUGAAAGUGAUAUGUACAGAAAUGCAAAAGCUAUCAAAAGAGCUAUAGCAUAACUUUGUCUAGCCAAGAAAAUAAAAGGUGAAUGUAGCCUAAAGUCAAGGGUAACAGAAUUGUUAACUGUUUGCAUAAUAAGCAAAAAAAUCCAAUGAGGCACUAACCAAUUCUUGUCGAAGCUUAUUGUUCAGUUCAACAGCAGAAUUCUAGGAUGACUCUUCACAUCUGUCAGGUACAUACUGCUGCCCAGUCAAUUCAAAUUCUCUUCAAAACAGCUAAUCUCGCUCCAUAUUGUCUUUUGAAGCUUCCUGGGAAAAAAAGUCUUUUGAAGCUAAUCUUGCUCCAUACAGCUAAUCUUCACAUCUUUCAAAGCAUUUGCUAGGGCCCUUCGUGAGCAAUAGAAUAUGACUUGCGCUACCAAAGCGUCCAUAGGUAUGUAUUUCCUUACUGAAAACGUUUUUUUAGAAAACUAUCCUUAGUUCAUGACCAGUUGGUGAAAAAAUGCUUCAAGCAUUGUUGUUUCGAACCACACCUUUCUGUAGAUGUAAUUCAAGUUUUCUACAACCUGUAACUACUAAUGUAGAUAAAAGAAAAACUGUCUCACAUUCCUUUAUCUUAUGCAUGAAACUGUUCCAUGUAUUUUCAGAAAGCUAGAGUGUGGCAUGUUUUACAUCUAUUAUAACGGUCUACCAUUUUUGGGCCCAUCUAUAACAAGGACUUGUCCCUUGGUAGUAAAUGAAAAUGUUUCUCCCUAAGUCUGUAGAUUGUAUUGUUCAGUCAAGCUGUUGCCCAAUUGUACAUGCAGCCACAAAGGCUUCCUGUGUAUUUUCUUCUACAUUAGAAUUUUCUAGAGACUGUAAAUUGUAUUAGCGAGACAAGCAGUCAUGCAUUAGAGGCCUGGUCCAUGACACAAUUAUAUAUAAUGAGAUCGAGAUUUCAUUGUACAUGCAUCCACAAGGCAUCUUUUUAUAUUUUUUAACAUGAGUGUACUGAUGCAAUGUCGUUCUGUUUUGUCAUUUUAUUUUUGUUAUAUCUUGGAGAUGCUGAGCUUGAUCAAUAUUUUGCCAUUGAAUUUAUGAGUGGCCUAUAUGUUCACUUUUUGGAGAUCCCUCCCACAAGUCACCAUCCACAUCAGUCAAGUGUCGAGUUCUUGAUCCGACAGACACAUCCAUUGACCCAUUGGUGCUCCAGGCAGCCACCUCUGUAGCUCUGCUAUAACUUCUUGCGGUCACAGAUGACAAAGGAUCAGAACCAAUGAUUUGGGUGUAUUUUAUGGAAAGGCAAAAUGAGAAGCUGAAUCUUGGAGGAUGUCUAGAAGCAAACAGAUGUUAGCAUGUGCAUUAGAGGAGGUCCCCGUAUAGUGCAGCAAGGGGGCAAAGUGUUUAGUGUAUAAUUUGCAUGUUGGGAAACGAUUGGUCGGAUAUGUUUUGCCAUCCUUUUCCAAUGAAACAUCUCAGGUGGAGGUCAUUCGACCUUGACAGACAUCAUUUUGCCUCAUACACUUGCAACAAUUUAUUGACAUAUUUUGUUGCUUACUUUUGCCAUUUUAUGUACUUCGUUCACUAUGGAGAUAGUCUUUGAGAUGUGUAUAAAGUUACAGUGAUCAUGUUUUGCCAACCGAUCAUGUUCAUGUUGUGAACCUUUUUUUUGGAGUUAAAACAUUUAAGCAAAGCUUUCAUUACAUCUACUUUUGCUACCUUUUUUACCAUGCCUUUUGAACUUACUGGUGAUUAGAUUUUGCAGCUUGCAUAGUUGGAAUAACUGGAUACAAAACAUUUUGCCAAACGGAUGAUAUUUCUAUAUUCUAUAUUAAUUUUUAACUUCCGUGGCAACGCACGGGCAUUCACCUAGUAUAUAUAUAUAUAUAUAUAACUUGCAAAGGUUGCCACAAUCGUAGAUUCUAAUCGAACAGUACAGGUUUAAAUCAGAUCGUACAUAAACAUAUAUAAAAAGUUAUAGAAAAGUAGCUAGACUCUUGAAAGGACCGGAUAAUUAAACAGCUCGGUUAAUUAAAAUCCUAAGUAAAAUCACAUGGCCACAUCACAUUGAGCUAGGCUGCAGUCUAGCAGCCUUGGAAUAAUCAACGUGCAACCCCCAUUAUCCGGAACCAUAUUUCUAUGGUGUCGGCCAUCCCCCGUCGGAAUUAAGAGCCUUGCUAAUCUCCAAAGGAAAACACGGAUCUUAGAUGAGCACAACUCAAUCCAUUAAUUCCUUUUUCCUGUGAUCUAGCCGCAGGCGUCCCUCCGACAUUCUGGGGACUGUCCGUCGCCAUCCUCCCCGCCAAGAGAUCCCAACUCGCUCGACGGUCCUCAGCCUUCCUGCCAAGGCCGCGGAGUUGCAUAAGGUAGCGCCGUAGUCAAUAUUGGCCUGUUAAGCGGUGUUUUGAUGGGCCAGGUCCGAGUGGGUAUUGUCUCGUGUCGUGUGACAAUCCGGCCUGGCCCAUCGCAAAUCUCCUGUCAUUUCUUCUCGCUCGCCACGAUGUUGCGGAGAGCCGGACCGCCAAGACAAAACGGCGGUCUGUCGCCGGCGUUCCCUCCGUCGCGUGGUACUCCACCCGCUGCUGGAAAUCUCUCGGCGCCCGUUAAGUGAGUUCCACCCUAACGCUCGUAGUACUAGAUCCUCUUUUCUCUCUCCCCCAUUUCCUCUCUUCUUUUUUUCGCGCGUGGAAUCGCCAUGAGACGACCUCGAUUAGUUACCGUUGCCUGUUCCAGCUACCAAACUUUGUAGAUUUGCGAGCAACUUGCUAAAAAUUAGGGUUCCGAUGAGUGGGACUUGGAGGGACUAGGAAUUCGCCGAGAGCCGACAAUUACAUGUUGCAAUUGGAUAACCGCUCCAAAAACCCUUCCCGCCGCUCGACCGCCGAGAGCCGAUUCCGAUGCUUCUGGUUGGCCUAGAACUGCUGCAUUAUGUGAACCUGUCCUCCUUAUAUAUGGUUGGUUCUGGGCAAUAUCAUACUGUUGUCUGGACUCUGGAAUGGUAUGUUAGUCUGUCGACAGGUUAACUAGAAGAAUGAUGUAGUAGGUAAACCUUUUCUCUCUGAUCGACGAUGCGUUGUCACUGGCAUGUACUACUCUAAUUACUACUUAGAUUCUCACUUGAGUAUGCAUCAAAGGUCACAUAGUAAUACUAUUCUAUAGCCCAGCCAUUACAAGUAGCGAUGUGACAAUGAACCAUUAAUUCUUUUGAGAUGGAGAAUCCUAUGCAUGGUGUUCUACAACUAGGAACUAGCCAACAUUCCAAAUUCGUCUAAUGACAUAUUCCCUGAAUAGUUUUCCAGUUAAAGGAAACAUAAUACCUUUCUAUGUCUUGUCCAUUUAUCAUUUCUCCACAUUUUUUGAAUGAUACGUUUCCACUUUAAAUAUCUGCUGGACUUCACAAUAUUCAGAUAUUCGAUACUUUUAGUUCAGUUCUCAGCUAGUUAUUACCAUGGACAUGCUGAAAGUGUUCCAAAUUAUAGGUCGUUUUUUAGCUUUUCUUAAUACAUAUGUAUUUCCUCUAUACUAAAUUAUAAAGACAGUUUGGCUUUUCUAGAUACAAAGUUUUUUUUCUAUGCGCUUAGCGGCUUAGGUACAUAUUAUGUGUAGAUAUAUUUAGGAUAAAGUGAGGAUAAGGAACUGCCCAACGGCUGUGAUGUCCGAACUUACAAAUGCUUGGUUGUCACUGAAAAGUUCCAUCGAAUAGAUGAAAUACUGAGGAUACGAGUCAGACAUGCCAAGUGGGGCUUUUAUUAAAUAAUAAAGACUUAUCCAACAAUGUCCUCAUUGGAAAGUGACCGUUUGGGAACACUAGGGAUGUGUAUAAUGAAAUAGAAAAAAUAGUCACAACUCACAACUUCACAAAUAAAUACCCAUGCCUUUUUUUCCCAGCCAGCUAUAGGCAGUAUAAAUUCAGAUAGUUAAGGUUAAAGUGAAGCAUGACUAUACUGCAGUCGCGUCCUUUAAAAUGGUCUUUAGGAGAGGAGAGGUGAGCAGAAUAUUCAUAUACACUGUGUUCAGAAUUCCAGGUCCGCUCGAUGCUAACUGUCCCCUUGUGAUAGCACAUGCAAAUGCCUUGUUGUUUUUGCUAGAGAAGUACACGUAUAUAUGUUUGCUAGUUGCAACCUCUGCAGAAGGUGUAUAAAAAAUUAUUGAACCUAAUUAAUUCGAUGGUCUAAUCAGGAAGGCCAGCGAUGCCCCUUCUGCUUUAUUCUGACUACUGAUUAAGCAGGGUUCCGGUACUUGCCACUCAUUAAACAAAAGGCUAGUAGCUUCCUUGUGACAUGAGGUUGUUUUUUUUUGAAGAAUCAGGAGGGGGAUACCCUACUGCGAAUUUUAUUAAAAAGCGAAAAGAAAAGGUUAGAACUUAAUCAAGUUGAAGCGUCCUCUCUCACUUUUGUCUUACGCUCCAAACAAUGUACACGACACAUACUAGUGGUUUGCCUCCGUGACAUGAGGUUGUUGGUGACCAUAUUACUGACGUGUGGACAGGCGUAAGCUAGGGAAUCACCCCUCUAUCCAUGUGGUGAAUUGCAGACUGACUGGACCUAGCUGCACAGCUAAUUACUCUCUGAAACUUCUAAUUUUGUAUGCUAGUUCACACCCCAGCACUACGCUGCUAUUGCUUGCUACAAGGAACAUAUAAUGGCACAAAAAUUUGGAAAUCUUUUUUCUGCUGAAUGAGACGAUAGGUACAUGCACACAUGCUUUCGAUUACUUGGAAGUUUUCCGCAGUGUCAUAAACUUGAAUAUCCUACUUUGUUUUGUUGUUGUUGUUGUUUUCCAAUAGUUGGAUUUUUUUUUGUAUCUGUUUGAAUGAUAGGUAUGAUCAGACAUCUCAACAGCUAGAUGAGAGGAGUAGGUUCUCUGAGCUGACAGAAGAGCGUGAUGUAUUGUGUUAACUAUAGAAGUUGUAUACAGUUGCAUUGAAAUAUACUGGUGUAUACAUGAAACUAAAAGAAACAGUCAUCCGAGAUAGUUUAUCAGCAUAGAGAUAGGGACCAAGCAAAGGCCUCUCUUCCUCAGCUCAUUGCUCUCGUGGAUCGCCUUCUCGUCGGCGCUAGAACUACUGAUGGCGGCUUGAUGGUCGGCGCCGGUCGUCACCUGCUGCUUUGAACUCAUAGCUUCCAAGUACUUGGCCUGCAGCAUUCGAAAAGAAGAAGAAAACAGGUGUAAGUACAACAACGCCGAUCUCCAAGAACUAGAUGUGGAAGCUGUAGAGCAAGCAUAUAUACCAUGAGCUGGGGCAUGUCGUUGAACUGUUUCGCAUCGGUGGCUGCCAUUUGCUUCAUGUGGAAGUUCUCCAUGGUAGCCUUCUGCACAGGGAGAGUCCGCAAUCACGUUAGAAGACAAGCUGUGUGCUACAACACUGUUUGAAACAAAAAGGCCUAGCUAGGCCUAACCAGAGGUCGAGGUCGAGUCCUUUUUGCUACUAACUAACCUGUUGGGCAGCUGCAGAAGAACUGCAGGCGGUGUCCUUCACGGACUCGUCGUCAUCCUCGUCGUCGUUGCACAUGAACUCGGACGUGAUGAAGGAGGCGUCGUCGCUAAAGGAAUCGAAGGAAGAAGAAGAGGAGAAGCUGCUGCCGCUGCCGCCAGGAACUGCAGGGGGUUGCUGACCGUCCGUCACUCUGGUGCCGUCCUGCGGCGUGGAGGCCAGGAAGUUGGCGAUGUGCAUGGCCCAGCUGCUCUCGCCGGCUGACAUGGUGAGAGUGGCCGCCGGGCUGAUGACGCAUGAGGUGGAGGGUGAUUUGCUCUCCAUUGUUGUGAUCACCCAGAGGAGGACAAGGAGGAGCAGCAGCAGCAGCAGGAGGAGCUCUUGUUCUUGGCAAUGUGAUGUGAUGUGAAGAAAGCUCGGUAGAGUCCGUGGGUAUAUAAACAGUCGUAGUAGCAGCAGUAGGCACACAUGGGCUGAGCUGAGUAGAAUACGGUUGGGAAAUCCCUCUCUGCGAAUAUUCUGGUUAGUUGCGUUGCGUGUGUGUUAUUCAGUAGUAAUGAACACUUGCGUUGUGGCAAAUGAUAUGGCUGGAUGGAUAACACAUAAACAGUGAGAUCGAGAUCCACUUCACCAUCACCAGCUGCAGGUUGAUGAAGCCCAGACCAAACCACUGUCACAUCACAUCAGCAGAUGCAUGAAGAGGAGGGCAGACUGGUCACGUACGGCCUCACGGGUCACUGGUUAGUGGUUACCGGUCACACGUCACAUCGGAUUCGGAUCGGAGAGGAAUCAUCAGAGGAGCGCCGCGAGCACGUCUGUUGCUAUCGCGCUCGCGCGGCAUGGAUGAUGGACCACCUAAUCCGAGGAUCCGAUACAUGUAUGUAUCCGACGCGAUCACGAGCGAUAUCCGGAUUGAACUGGUUGUUUUCGAGAGCCAGGGACAGACAGAGUUAACGACGACGACGCAGGGAUAUGAAUCCGAUCUCAUCUGAAGCCACCCAAUCCGUCCGAUGCGAGUAGAACGAAUGUUUUUUUUAAUUUUUAUUUAUUUAUUUAUUUAUUCAUUCAUUACCCUUAUUUAAUCUGUUGGGCACGCAUACAUUAUACCACGUGCCACAUACUGUAGUGAUCCGUUUUGUAUUGUAUCGUAGCAGCGACAGGAUCAUACGUGAGCGUGUGAUCGGAUCAAACCAGGCUACCAAUCUGCGCUGCUCGUUUGGCCUUCAUCGGUCCAAAUACUACUCCAAUAGGCAAUAGCCACGAACAAUUCUGCUAGAGGUUUAAUUAGGGACGCAGGCCGGGCCAUGGUAACGUAAUCCGCCCGCGCGUGCCUUCUUCGACAGUCGACACACUACAGCUGCUACCGUGUGUUGUAGGCAAAGAGGUUGAUGUUUAGUCCUAAAUAGCGUUAUCAAUCGAGACUAAAAAUACUACAACAAUAUAUAUAUAUAUAGCUUUUUUUUCUAGCCCAGACAUCCAAUAUAACCAUUGAAGUUUAUGUUCUUGCUCUCAAGUAUUUUCAUUCUAAGUUCAAAAGGGUAUUAACUCCAUGCUCUUAUAUUCUCUAUUGCUGCUUAUUUCAUGGUGGUUUAGAAAUAAAUAAAGAAUUUAUGAUUUUUUUUCAACAGUAUCGUCAGCGUCGAGGAUCUAUGAGGAUGCUGCGUCACUGUCUUUUCAUGGUUUAGUCCCCGGUUCUAAAUUAAGAGAUGAUAAGGUCUUUAGCCAUGUAUUGAAAAUCCCGGUUAGAAACUAGUAGGAAUAUAUGAAGCGGCUUUUCAUCCCAAAAUAUAUAGCAGCCCCUUCCCGUAGUGACGCUAUGCAGUCGUGGCUACUGCUUAUGUCAUCGCCACCUCCGUCCUCCUGUCGUCUGCCAUGCAUGGCUUCCUCGAUGUCCAUGGGUAACAUAGCGCCAUGCAUGCCAUCGUGCAUGUACGAUCAGAUUUUGGAUCGCUGCGAGUUCAUGCAAGCUGGUAUCUUGCCCCGGCCCCUUUUCCUUGACUUGAUCUCCAUCGUCGUCCGGUCCCUCUUGCUCCAACUGCUAGCUAGUAAUGACCAAAUCAUCUCGUUGAUACCACGAGCUCUCAAUGCAAAUAGCCGGCGCGCAUCCUCUAGGAUCUCUGGCGAUCUCGCGCGCCCCGCCUCCCACCAUGCAUGCCACUCUCAUACGCAGUGGCGAAGCUAAAAUAAAAUGAAGUUGGACGAAGGAAAAAAUAUAUCAAGAUUAGCGUGUUUUUGUGGGACUAUUGUUUUUAGGUAUAAACCUUUCGAAAUAAUGAUUUUUUAUUCGAGGACCCCAUAUAUAUACACACAUAUGUUUUAAAUUUUCAUGUAUUUUUAAACAAACUAGUGAUAUUUAAGUUCCUAGUAUCAUAAAAGAACGCCAACUAAACUAUCAAAGUGCAUUCUGUUAGCUCAUCACGAGCUUCAAAUAUAUGGCGCAUUGGCGCGCAUGCACGCAUGAUUAGAGAGGAUGGAUCUCUCGCGAUCUCGUCCACAUGACAUUCUCAUGCACCCGCUCGCUUCUAUACCACAUGCCACUAUUGUGAUGUGUAUAUAUGUAAAUAUAUACUCACUUGGAAAAUUUUAGUGCUGCAAUUUGCACAGCAUGCAAAGUAAGCUAAGCCUAGCUAGCUAAUGGCCUGUAUAAUUUGGUUGCACGCAGCCACACGCCGCACGGUGCCUUCUUUGACUUUGACUUAUCCUGGAAAGGUGUGCUUACUUUUUUCUCCGUGCAUGAGAUCAAUAUUAUUGUUUGUUAUGGUUUGUUUGGUUCAACUGUAGAUUCUUGAAAAUAUGAUUCGAACAGUGAGCUGUGUUGUAAACUAACAAUUAUAGAAAAUCUAAAAUUUGUUUGCUGAAACAACUGUUGAUUAUAAAUUUCAUAAGUGAAUAGCACCUUAUAACAUAUAUGACAUGAAUCAAACUGAGGUAAAAGAUAUGUAGAUUUUUAGUAAUUUAUUCAGUUGUUGUAUCCGUUUAGUUAAAAUUCUAAAAGAUGAACCAACCACAACAUAAGAGUGCGUAGUGCUCUUCGGGGUCAAACAUGCAUAUUUUUCGAAACGGGGAAGUAUUUCUGUAAACUUUAUUCACUUUUGGAGUCUUGUAGAUGCUUGUAGAGGGAAAAAAUAUUUUUCCCCCAAUGGAUUUCCCACUCGGUCCAACUACCUCCCCCUUCCAUCUCGGCCCGGGCCCAACUAUCUAACACUCUCUUGAGCCCAGCAAACGUCUCGGUAGUCUGCAUGGCCCAACACCAUCGCUCCCUCACUCCCCAG